CAAGGCAGGCUUCUGAACAAAGUGAGUACUCAAAAACUUUGCUUAUCAAUCAUCUGCUCGCUUUAUUUGCAAUUUUUAAAAGUUGCAACUACUAAAUGCAAUAGAAACAAGAACAUAUUAUACAAUAUUUAAUAUUAUGUAAAGUAGUAGGAGAAUAUUUACUGGAAUUACUUACAUGUAUUAAUUUUUUAGCUACCUAGUUUGGACAUAAUUACACUUUCUUUCUUGUUUUCCUAAUGUAUCAUGUGCUCUUCUACCACAGGUAUGCUGAUCUAGCAUGAAUUAUGGUUACUUGUGGACAUAAGCAGUUACUUUUCUGGAGUAGAAACAUUUUAAGGAAGGAUAUUAUCAUUGUUGUAGACACAGGACUUAAUAAAUUUGGUCCCAAUUUGCGUCUGUACAUAUUGGUCUAAAGGUUUCUUGUAUAUAGAGACAUGAAACCUAGCUUGAUGUGUAAAUAGACAGUAACCUUCUGAUAACAAGUAACUGAGUCUCAGCCAAUCACAAGCGACCAACUGUUAAAAAAAUGUUCAAAUAAACAGAUGCAAGGUGUAGCCAACAAGGCUGUGAUUGCACCUGCCUUCUGGUUUUUGCACAUCACUACCCAUGCUGUGGCUCCAGGGCUAGGUUUAUAUGUGGUGGGGCAGACGAUUUCGAAUCUUUUUUGGUCUAUACUGUUGCCCAAUUCUAUAAUUACAAAAAAAAGCCAAUUAAGAUUUGCAAAACUAGAUUUAUUGUAAUUUUGCUUUUUAAGAGACUUACCAAAAGGGCCAUCAUGGAUACUCACUAGUGUUGUGACUUCGGUGAAAAUGUGUUUUUAUUAUGUUUGGUAGAUUUUGCAAUUGGGUUUUAAUUCUGAAAAAGAUGCUUCCAACGAUGAAAUACCAUUUUAGCCUUAAUGCUUCAAUAGUAUUCUUCCCAGGUAAUUCUAGGACAGCAGGGGAAAAUUUUUAAGUUUCAGGGGUUUUUUUUUGUUUUUUUUAUUUUUAUUUUUUUUUAUUGGUUGUUCAAAACAUUUCAAAGCUCAUGACAUAUCAUCUUUCAUACAUUUGAUUCAAGUGGGUUAUGAACUCCCAUUUUUGCCCCAAAUACAAGUUGCAGAAUCACAUCAGUUACACAUCCACAUUUUUACAUAAUACCAUAUUAAUGACUGUUGUAUUCUGCUACCUUUCCUAUCCCCUACUAUCCCCCCUCCCCUUCCCUCUCAUCUUCCCUCUCUACCCCAUCUGCUGUUGUUUAAUUCUCUCCCUUGUUUUUUUUUCCCCUUUCCCCUCACAAACUCUUAUAUGUAAUUUUGUGUAACAAUGAGGGUCUCCUUCCAUUUCCAUAGUUUCCCUUCUCUCUCCCUUUCUCUCCCCCCACUCGUCUCUGUUUAAUGUUAAUCUUUUCCUCAUGCUCUUCUUCCCUGUUCUGAUCUUAGUUGCUCUCUUUAUAUCAAAGAAGACAUUUGGCAUUUGUUUUUUAAGGAUUGGCUAGCUUCACUUAGCAUAAUCUGCUCUAAUGCCAUCCAUUUCCCUGCAAAUUCUAUGAUUUUGUCAUUUUUUAAUGCAGAGUAAUACUCCAUUGUGUAUAAAUGCCACAUUUUUUUUAUCCAUUCAUCUAUUGAAGGGCAUCUAGGUUGAUUCCAGAGUCUAGCUAUUGUGAAUUGUGCUGCUAUGAUCAUUGAUGUGGCAGUAUCCCUAUAGUAUGCUCUUUUAAGGUCCUCAGGGAAUAGACCGAGAAGGGCGAUAGCUGGGUCAAAUGGUGGUUCCAUUCCCAGAUUUCCUAGGAAUCUCCAUACUGCUUUCCAUAUUGGCCACACCAAUUUGCAGUCCCACCAGCAAUGUACAAGUAUACCCUUUCCCCACAUCCUCGCCAGCACUUAUUGUUGUUUGACUUCAUAAUGGCUGCCAAUCUUACUGGAGUGAGAUGGUAUCUUAAGGUGGUUUUGAUUUGCAUUUCUCUGACUGCUAGAGAUGGUGAGCAUUUUUUCAUGUACUUGUUGAUUGAUUGUAUGUCCUCCUCUGAGAAGUGUCUGUUCAGGUCCUUGGCCCAUUUGUUGAUAGGGUUAUUUGUUAUCUUAUUGUUUAAUUUUUUGAGUUCUUUUUAUACUCUGGAUAUUAGGGCUCUAUCUGAAGUGUUUUUUUGUAGGCAGAAUCUUUCUAUGUUUACCAGGCUUAUCUCAAGCUCCUGGGCUCAAGUGAUUCUUUUGCCUCACCUUCCUGAGCAGCUAGAGUUACAGGCACAUGCCACUAUGCCCAGCUUAAAAUUCUAAUUUCUUUUGUAUCCAACCCAAAGUCUUAAGGAAGUUGGGUCAUCUCACCAGAGCAUGUAUUCAAAAAACACUUAUUGGGUUUUUACUAUUUAGUCUGAAAACCAUUUUUUCCAGUUCCUACUAUCACUUUUCUUUUCUACUCUCAUCUGAUGAAACACUGCAACUGCCAGGCCUGGUGGCACACGCCCAUAAUUCUAGCUGCUCAGGAGACUAAGGCAGGAGCAUUGUUUGAGCCCAGGUGCUUAAGACAAACCUGGGUAAUAUAGUGAAACCCUGCCUCAAAAACAAAGCAAUAACACUGCAACUAAGUAAUAUUAUUAAUCUUAAUUCUGCUUACCCUCAAAAUAGAUGUGACCGCUUUUGCUUCACACUCCAUAAUUUGGCAUGAAGUGGAAUUUUGUAGAACUGAGGCAUUCAUACAAGGAAUUGCGGUAGAGUACCUAGAAAAUAAAAUGAUAUCUGCGGAACACCAUGCAAUAUUCCUCUGCAAAAUUCCAUCAUAACAGUUAAAAUAAUUUCAGUUGUUUAAAAUGUUAUUUUGCACACUUAACACAUGUAAAAAGUCUUACUAUGUGUAAUAUUUUCAAGGAAAGUCAUGUUCCUAAAGUUUUGCCAUAAAUAUUUGUUACUCAUUUAUUUAGUUGUGCCACUUAUUAUUAUUAUACAAUCAAUCAACAAAUAUAUGAAAAAAAUGUUCACCAUUGCUAGCAAUUAUAGAAAUGCAAAUCAAAACCACUUUAAGGUUUCAUAUCACUCCAGUCAGAAUGGCAGCUAUUAUGAAGACAAACAACAAUAAAUGUUGGUGAGGAUGUGGGAAAAAGGCCCAUUUAUGCAUUGCUGGUGGGACUGCAAAUUGGUGCAAAUUGAUCCACAGCACCACAUUAAAAAAAAAAACAGCACCACACAAUGGAAUAUUACUCAGCAAUAAAAGAGAAUAAAAUCAUGACUUUGCAGGUAAAUGGAUGGAGUUACAGAAGAUAAUGCUAAGUGAAGUUAGCUAAUCCCAAAAAACCAAAUGCCGAAUGUUUUCUCUGAUAAAAGAAGGCUGACUCAUAGUGGGGUAGGGAGAGGGAGCAUGGGAGGAAUAGACGAACUCUAGAUAGAGCAGAGGGGUUGGAGGGGAAGGGAGGGGGCAUGGGGUUAUAAAUGGUCUUGGAAUGUGAUGGUCAUUAUUAUCCAAAGUACAUGUAUAAAGACACAAAUUGGUGUGAUUAUACUUUGUAUACAACAGAUAUAUGAAAAAUUGUGCUGUAUAUAUGUAAUAAGAAUUGUAAUUCAUUCUGCUGUCAUAUAUAAAUAAAAAAACAGAAAGAAAAAAGAGAACAUAAACACCAACUCAAAUUCAUUAUUUUAAAAUAUUUUGAUAUUUUAAUUCCUGCAUCUAGUGCCUGAUAUGGAUGUACCCCAAUUCCUCAAUUCACAUCAUUCAGUUUUUUGAAUAUUAAAAUAAACUAUAUAAAUCUUAUACAUUAUGGUAGAAGUCAGAUACCCACAACACAGUUUUCAACAUUAAAACAAAUAAUAUAUAUUAGUAUAAAACUCAGAUACACAAAACAUCUAUCAUAUAUCAACAAUCUAUCUCUUAAGAAAAUAUAUCAAGGAGUGAGUUUGCUGAGCCAAAGUUAAUGUUUAUCCUGUUCAAUGUAUUGUUUUAUGGGUUGAAUUUUGUCCCUUGAAAAUAUGUAGAGGUCAUAAACCAUGAAAAUAGUGACUUUUUAUGUUAUCUAGAGAUACAGUCUUUGCAGAAGUAAAAAAAUUAAAAUUAAAAAAAUAAGACAAGAUCAUACUGGAUUAGAGUGGAGCGUAAUCCAAUGACUAUGUCCUUAUAGGAAGAGGGAAAUUUGGACACAGAUACUUAGGAAAGAAGGUCAUGUGAGGAUGGAGGUAGAAGUUGCACCUAUGAGUUAAGGAACACUAAGGAUUUCCAGCAACUACCAAGAUAAAAAGGAAAUGAAGGCUCUUUUCUUAGGGACUUGUGAGGUAUCAUAGCCUUGCUUACAUAGUGAUUUCAGAUUCAUAUCCUCCAGAACUGUGAGAGAAUAUAGUUCAAAUGUUUUAAGCCAAGUUUGUAAUACAUUUCUAGAGUAGCCCUAGGAAACCGACAGCUGUUGUAAGAGUAGUAUCCCUAAAGAUAAAUGUUCUUGUCUCAUUUCCUGAUUGAUGAUGAAAUUCUUUUCAAUGAUUAUCAUUUACAGUAUAUUCAUUGUUGGUUUUGGGUAAGAAAUCUGCCUUGAGAAUUUUUCUUUAGUUCUUAGUUUGCAAGGCAGUUUUAUUAAUAAGUCUGUGUUUUAUCAAAUUAUUUUCAACAUUUAUUGAUAUGAUCAUAAUGCAAUCUUACUUCAUUGUUAUAGAAUGAAUUAUGUUGAUUUUUUGUGAUAAUUGGCCCAUCUUCCUAUUCCCAGAAUAAACCCUACUUCUGACUUUAUUUUCUAAGAUUUUAUUUUUAAUUCCUCAUCUAUAUCUAUAAAUAAGAUUGGGCUAUACUUUUUACUGCUGUUAUCAAUUUAAAAAUUUUUUAAUAUCUUUAUUUUGUUUAUUUUUUAUGUGGUGCUGAGGAUUGAACCCAGUGCCUCACAUGUGCAAGGCAAGCGCUCUGCCACUGAGCCACAACUCCAGCCCACUGUUAUCAAUUUUGAUAUUAAAUCAUAUUUGCUUUGACAGUAAAUCAAAUCAAAAUAUAUUGGAGAACUUUUAAUCUUUUUCUAUUCACCUAUAAUACUGUAUGUUACAUUGAAAUUAGCUUUAUCCCAUAAUUUCAUAUAGAAUUCACAUUUUAACUGUUCUUUUUAUGGCUUUUAAAAAUGCAUAUUUGAAAAACAUUAAUUUUUACCAAAGUAGAAAGUAUUAUAUGAUAAAUCUUUUCAUAUUUGCUACUAAUCUUUAAUUCAAAUUGGAGUUUUAAUUGGCAGGUAACUUUAAUCAUUUGUCUUCCUAAGUAAGGCCAUCAGACAGACAUUAAUUGAGACUAGUGCAAUGUCACACUUUUCCUUAGGAAGGUGGAAACUAAACACUUGAUAUGAACUUAAAUCCUGGCUCCUUAAGUCAUGAUUGAGUAUCAGUUGCUCAUCCCUGGUGAUAAUGGAGACAAUGGUAGUUUCUGCUUCCUAGGAUGGCUGUGAGGAUUAAAUGAGUUAAUAUAUAUAUAAGUCAUAAAGGAGGGGGACCCUGUGGCCCCAUCCAGAUAUCCAGUUCAGAACUAAAGCACUCAUUUUCCACAGCUUUUGGGAGAUGGCUGCUGAUGCUCACAAUUGGGUCCCCCCAUGGGACUACCCUCCAAUAAAAGUAAUUGCUUUGAACUGGCUCUAUCAUGGGGCAGCAUAAGACCAAAAAUUGUUUGAUUCUGUCUGGUCCACUUGCCUCAAUUCAGGAUAACUCUGAAGAGACAUCCAACUUCAAAGCUCCCAGGGUGUUGAUUGAAAGCUCUGUUGUGGCUGCUAAAUCCAACUUGUUUUCCUGCCCAGUUCUGUUUCCCUCAUUCUCUCAGUUGGUAAAAAGAGAAUCACUGAAAAGACUACUGCAUGCCAUUUGUUGCAAAGUCUGUUUCCAGGGUGGCAUAGCCUAAAAUAAUGCUUAAAAUAUCACUUGGUAAAUAUUCAAUAAAUGCUAACUGAUAUACAAAACUACUGAUAUUAUUAUCAUAGAUCUCAGAUAGUGCUGAGUCUCUCCUGCUAACCUUAGAAAUCCAUGCAGUGGUGGGUUCUCUUACUUAGUCUUGGCUUAAGUCAUGCUUUUUUUCACUCUGGUACUUAUGUUCUGACUCUUAACAGUGAUGAUGUAAGAAGGUUUACAGCUCCUAACAUGGAGGAUAAUUCCACUUGAGCAGAAUAACAGCAUUUACUAUGUAACAUCAUUGACUACCUCCAAAAAAUAAUAGAAUUGGUUAUUUUUGUUUUACAAUUCAAAGCUCAAUAUGUUGUAGGUUAUGUUGGUAGAAGCUGUCAGACAAAAUAUAUUUGAAGCCAAGAGUUAAAGGAAGAAAAGAAAAUGGACUUUAAAUGUUAAGAAAAUAUUGAUUAAUGUUUUCUACAAUUCUGAAUUGUAGUGAUAAACCUCCUCGAUCCAGCUAGUAGGAAUCUACAUUGAAACCUGUGUGUGUGGGUGUGUGAUAUGCCAGGCAAACUACUUGAAAUAUAUAAACAGAUAUAUUUCAUUCCACAUAUGUGCAUCAAAGAAGUGAAGCUAUUUAUUAUGUGGCUAUUGUGGUUAAUUGAAGAUGGAUGAUAAUGCCUGAAUUUGGUAUGAGGGGGUUGAGAUAUUUUUAUUAAUUUGACAUUCUUCCCCUAAACAGAAUUAGCAUCCAUCCCAAAUGUUAACAGUAACUUACAGAAGUACCAAAAAUAUGAUAAGUUAACAAAUUGUCAUCAACUUGAUUUUUAAUUUUAUUAUUAUUAAUAAUAUUAUUUUUAUUUUGUAUUUAAAUUUAAAUUCAUCCAAAUAAAGCUAUGUGGUUUAAUUAUUAUUAUUUGGGCAGUGAGGAGUAUCAUUUAUGUACACUAUUUAUAUAAAAAGGAAAUUUACAAUUUACAUGAGAGCAUUUCUUUGUGUCCUUCUGAAAGCUUGUUAUUAAAGUUUUGUUGUCUAGUUCUCAUACCUGUGCUAGAAUUUAAUGGUUUAAUUAUGUCACCAAUUAUUCCUUUUCAAUAUCCCUUUCAAGAAUCUGUGGAAUCCCCAGCAAUUCUGAAGAAGUGAGAUUGAUAGGGCAAAGGAGAUACAUACUGAAAUAAGAAAAUACCAUAUUUGCCCUUUGUUUUGAGCAUUUCAGGGGGAAAAAUAAAGUCAAUGCCUUUAAUUACAUAAACAAAAAUGUGUAUAGAUGAUGAGCCCAGAGGAGAACAGGAUCUGUAAUCUCUAUCAAAGAUUGGACAUUAAAAAUGAGAUGCCCAGGUUAAGUAUACUGCAGAAAGAGCCAAUGUUUCUUACCUAUUUGUAGCCAAUUUAAUAAAAAUAUUCUGAUGUUUAAAAAACAUAAAAAAAUCAGUAAUAAUUCAGUACCAUAAAUGCUGUUCCUAGCAAACUUAACAGGCUAUGUAAAUUCCAAUGUAAAACAAAUUGAUAAGCACCAUGUUUUCCUUAGAGGCAAAUUUAAAUUUCUAAGAGGAAAAAAAAGAGUUGAAUGCAUUAUUUCAAAACAUUUAACUUGUUCCCAAAGCAGCAGUUUUAUUUCAUGAAUGGUGUGGGUGGGCUCUGGAGACACAGCAGAGCUACCUAUAUCAAUGGACUGGCUAUUAUUUGAAAUCUGAUUGGCUACAAUCAUGCUCCAUUUUGAAUACCUUCAAAUAAAGACUAAGGAGUCAAGAAAAGGGGAAUUAAAAGAAAUUUGGGAAUAAAAUACAACAGUUUUAGAGAUUGUUUGGUAAGUAAAAUUUAUCUCUAAGUCAGAAAGUUUUUUAAAAAUAUGCUUUGACAUUUGCCAAACUAGAAAUUGGAGAAUCAAAUGUGGCGUCCUCUGCAUGUCCUCUUAUUUGAAACCAGAGCAGAAACGAUUGAACUGCUAUAUCAGGAAGAGUCACAACAAGGUACAGCAUGAUUCAAAUUCCUCCCAAGGUCAAUGACCAUAGUUCUGUGGAAGGAUACAUACCUGGAGAAAAACUUGAAGGCUAGCCUUCUCCAGAUAUGUAUCCUUCCACAGAACUAUGGUCAUUCCUUUGUUUUUUACUUUUAUUUGACAGAAACAUUUUUAAAAUUUACUUUCUUUUUUGGUAGGGGAUUGAACCCAUGGGUGCUUUACCACUAAGCUACCUCCCUAGUCCUUUCAAAAAUUUUAUUUUUAGACAGAGUCUCACUAAAUUGUCCAGGUUAGCCUUAAACUUGCUAUCCUCCUGCUUCAGCUUCCAGAGUUGCUGGGAUUACAGGCAAAUGCCAUAACAUUUACUUUUAACAGUUACAUAAAAAGAUGAACAUCAUACAUAUUUAUGGAGUACAUGUGAUGGUUUGAUAUAUCUUUUGUAAUAUUUAAAUCAGGGUAAGCACAUAUAUUUCCUCAAUAUUCAUCAUAUUUUAUGAUGAAAACAUUCAAAAUUCUUUCUUCUAUUUUUUUGAAACAUGCCGUACAUUAUCAUAAUCUAUAGUCAACCUAUUGUGGCCCACCAGAACUUCCUACUCAUUCCUAAUUGUGACUUCAUACUCAUAGAUUGACCUCUCUCAUUUCUCUUUCACUCUGACUUUCCCCACAUUCUGGCAUCCACCAUUCUACUCUCAACAUUCAUGAGAUCAACUUUUUUAGACUCCACAUGUGAAUGAAACCAUGUGGUAUUUAUCUUUGUGUGCCUGAAUUUUUUUCUUUUAACCUAAUGACUCCCAGUUCUAAACAUGUCACAAAUGACAGGAUUUUAUUGUUUUCUAUUGCUGAAUAAUAUUCCAUUGUGUAUCACAAUGUACCACAUCUUUAUCCAUUCAUCAGUGGAUGGAUGUUCAGCUUGUUUCUAUUUCUUCGAUAUUGUAAAUCAUGCUGCAAUAAACAUAGGAGUGAAAAUGUCUCUUUGAUACACUGACUUCAUUUCCUUUGGAUAUGUACCCAGUAGUAAAAUUUUUGGAUCAUGUGGUGAUAUAUUUUUAAAUUUUUGAGGAUCUUCACACUGUUUUCCAUAAUUAUAGUAGUAAUUUACAUUUGUGCCAAUGGUGUGUAAGGGCUGUCUUUCUCCAAAUCCUUACCAUCACUUCUUAUCUUUAGUCUUUUUAUAAUAUCUGUCCUUUCUGAAGUGAGGUUAUAUUUCAGUGUGGUUUUAGCUCGAAUUUCCCUGAUGAUUAUUGAUGUUGAGCAUUCUUUGCAUACCUGUUGAUCAUUUCUAUGUCUUCUUUUGAUAAGUCUAUCAACUAUUUUUUUUCAAAAUCAUAUUUUUUUGCUAUUGAGUUUUUUGAGUUUUUUAUAUUAACCCCUUAUCAGAUGUAUAGUAGGCACAUAUUAUCUCCCAUUUUGUAGGUUGUCUCUUCAUUGUUUCAUUUGCUGUGCAAAAGCUUUUUAGUUUGAUGUCAUCUUAUUAAUUUAUUUUUGUGUUUGCUUCCUUCCUGUGCUUUUGGAGUCCUGUCUGAAAAAUAUCCUUAUCCAUUCCAAUGUCCUAAAAUAUUUCCCCUGGAUUUUCUUCUGUUAGUUCCAUGGUUUUUGGAUCUUACAUAUAAGUAUUUAAUCCAUUUUUAGUUGAUUUUAUUUAUAACUGAUUCCUGAAUCUGAAAUGGCUUUAGAGAUAAUCCUGAUCUAUAUUCUUAAAAAUCUGUAUGAACCCUAGUAAGAAAAUACUUAGUAAUCACAUGUUAUGAAUAGGAGGAAAUAAAAAUCUAACAUAUAUGAGUGACUAAUUCAUGUGGAGUUUAACACAAAUAAUUUCACAUACACGAUAUCAAUUACUCUUUUUAAACCCUCUCAGAGAUCUGUAUAUGGGCCCUCAUUUUGACCAUUUAUAAAUGUUAGGCUUAGAGGGUCACAGUUGAGAAAUAGAAAAUACUUUUACUGUGGUAUGGUAUGGAGAAUUACCUCCAUCUUCAUAUAUAUAUUCUUAUAUAUAUUCCAUGGAGCUGGGCAUGGUGGCACACAAUUAUAAUCCCAGAGAUUUGGGAGGCUGAGGCAGGAGAUUGUGAGUUGCCUCAGCAAUUUAGUGAGGCCCUAAGCAACUUAGUGAGACUCUGUCUCAACAAUAAAACAAAACAAAACAAAACAAAACAAAACCUGUGCAGAUUUAUUGGCAAGAAAAUGCACAAACAUGAAAAUAAGAAAUAAUCUGUAGAAGAUAUGGAAGAGCAGACUUUUUAAAAGUAGAAUAGAUGUAAACAGAGAGGAUAUGAAAGACAUUGCCAGUGAUGAGACUUUUAUGUGCAAAGGCCCAUAGGUGGAUAAUCAAAUGUGAAUUAAGAAAAAAGCAAAAACAAUAACAAUCAUCAAACAGUAUGACUGGAAGAGUUCAGUGGAAGGAAAGCUUAAUGCUAAGUUUAAAGUUAGUCUAUACAUGUUAAAUUUCAGCACACAUGACCCUUUUGUUUAGCAUGUAUAGUAUUAUGGGAGGAUUAACUGAGUCUUCUGUUAAUCUGACAUGAAUAAAUAGAAAAGGAAGAUGGAUCAUAGAUAUGGGAAAGGAGACAAUGUGGGUGAUGUCAAUGAAAAUUUUAUAAGCCAGAUAUUUUUACAGUAGACUUAUGAUUGGGAGAUUUUUAAAAUUGGUUAUUACAUCAAACAUCUCUUACGGUUUGGAUGUGAGGUGUCCCUCAAAAGUUCACAUGUAAGACAAUGCAAGACAGUUCAGAGAAAAAAGUGAUUGGGUUGUAAGAGUCUUAAUCCAAUCAGUGAUUUAAUCCCCUGAUAAGGAUUAACUGUGUGGUAACUGAAGUGGUAGGGUGUGGCUGGAGGAGGUGGGAAUUUGGGCAUGGCUUUAGUAUAUAUAUUUGUAUCUGGAGAGUGGAGUUUCUCUCUCUCUGCUUCCUCAUGUGAACUGCUUCCCUCUGUCACUAUCUCCUGCCAUGAAGUUCAGCCUCAUCUUGAGCCCUGAGGAAUGGAGCCAGGGCUCCAUUAUAUGGACUAAGACCUCUGAAACCAUUAGCCUGCAAAUAAACUCUUUCUCCUCUAUAAUUGUGCUGGUAGGGUCCUUUAAUCAUAGCAGUGAAAAAGCUGACUAAUACAACAUCUGAUCUAUCUUACCUCUAACAUUAGCUUUAUUUAUUUUUAUUUUUAUUCAUUUAUUUUUGGUACUAGGGAAUGAACCUGGGGUGCUUAAUGACUUAGUUACAAGUGGUGGCACACACUUAUAAUCCCAGAGGGUUGGGAAGCUGAGAUAGGAUCUUGUUAAGUUUCUUAGGGCCUAAGUUGCUGAGGCUAUACUUGCACUUGUGAUCUUCCUGCCUCAAUCUACCAAGCAGCUGGGAUUAUAGGCAUGCACCACUGUGCCUGGCAUUAGCUUUAUUUUUCUAACAGAGCAAAUGGCCAUAUGCUUGGUACCUUUGAACAACACAAAUUUAUAAGUCAUACAAUUUUGAAGGUCAGAAGUUCUAAAUGGUUCUCAGUAAGAUAAAUAUGAAGAAUCAGAUGAACUGUAUCAUUUCUGGUGGCUCUAGAGGAGUGUAUUAGUUAGAUUUCCAUUACCAUAAUAAAAUAUCUGACAAGGCUCCUUAUUCAAAAAAAGAGGUUUAUUUAAAUAACAUGUCUGUUGGGUUCAAAGCCCAAACAGCAUAGUGAAAUCUUGGCAAAGGCUUCCCCUUGGCUUUAUUGCCUUAUGGUAGAUAGCAAUAGUGGAGCUCAUGAGGGAGGAAACAGAUUAGGUAUCCAUAGCAGGAAACACAGAGAGCUGGGUAGAGCCAGACUACUCAUUUUUUUUAAAUAGAGUAUAUUUUUUUAUUUUUUUAAUUUGUUUUAAUUAGUUACACAUGACAGUACAAUGAUCUUGACAUAUCAUACAUUUGAAUCAGAUGGGAUAUAAUUUCUCAUUUUUCUGAGUGUACAGGCAGACUUACUCAUUUUAUAACAGCCCUCAUUUUAUAACAGGAGAAAUCUAGAGAUCUAACAAGAACUACCUUCUGAUAGUAUGUCCCCAGUGAGUUAAAGACCUUCCACUAAAGCCCCACCUCAUUUUUAAAAAUUUAAUUUUUAUUUUUGUUGGUUUUAUUUUUUAUAUACAGGACAGCAGAAUGCAUCCCAAUUCUUAAAACACAUAUAGAACAAUUUCUCAUACUUCUGUUUGUAUAUAAAGUAUGUUUACACCAAUUCAUGUCUUCAUACAUGUACUUUGGAUAAUGAUGUCUAUCAUAUUCCACUAUCUUUGCUAAUCCCCUGCCCCUUCCCUUCCCCUCCCACCCCUCUUCCCUAUCUAGAAUUCAUCUAUUCAUCCCAUGUUCCCCCUCCCUACCCCACUAUGAAUCAGCCUCCUUAUAUCAGAGAAAACAUUCAGCAUUUGUUUUGGGGGGAUUGGCUAACUUCACUUAGCAUUAUCUUCUCCAAUGCCAUCCAUUUACCUGCAAAUUCCAUGAUUUUAUUCUCUUUUUUUGCUGAGUAAUAUUUCAUUGUGUAUAUAUGCCACACUUUUUAAACCAUUCAUCCACUGAAGGGCAUCUAGGUUGGCUCCACAGCUUAGCUAUUGUAAAUUGUGCUGCAAUAAACAUUGAUGUGGCUAUGUCCCUGUAGUAUGCUGUUUUUAAGUCCUUUGGGUAUAGGCUGAGGAGAGGGAUAGCUGGGUCAAAUGGUAGUUCCAUUCCCAGAUUUCCAAGGAAUCUCCAUACUGCUUUCCAUAUUGGCUGCACCAAUUUGCAGUCCCACCAGCAGUAUAUGAGUGUGCCUUUUUCCCCACAUCCUCGCCAACACUUAUUGUUGUUUGUAUGCAUAACAGCUGCCUUUCUGACUGGAGUGAGAUGAAAUCUUAGAGUAGUUUUGAUUUGCAUUUCUCUAAUUGCUAGAGAUGAUGAGCAUUUUUUCAUAUAUUUGUUGAUUGAUUGAAUAUCCUCUUCUGAGAAGUGUCUGUUCAGGUCCUUGGCCCAUUUAUUUAUUGGGCUAUUUUUUUGUCAUUUUGCUUUUUGAGUUCUUUAUAAACCCUAAAGAUUAGUGCUCUAUCUGAUGUGUGAGGGGUAAACAUUCACUCCUAAGAUGUAGGAUUUCUAUUCACCUCACAGAUUUUUUUUUUUCUGAGAAGAAACUUUUUAGUUUGAGACCAUCCCAUUUAUUGAUUCUUGAUUUUAAUUCUUGUGCUAUAGCAGUCUUAUUAAGGAAUAUGAGACCUAAUCCCACAUGACGGAGAUUAGGGACUACUUUUUCUUCUAUUAGAUGCAGGGUGUCUGCUUAUAUUCCUAAGUUCUUGAUCCUUUUUGAGUUGAUUUUUGUGCAUGGUGAGAGAUAAGGAUUUAAUUUCAUUUUGUUGCAUAAGGAUAUCCAGUGUUCCCAGCACCAUUUGUUGAAGAGGGUAUCUUUUCUCCAAUCCAUGUUUUUGGCACCUUUGUCUAAUAUAAGAUAAUUGUAAUUUUGUGGGUUAGUCUCUGUUUUCUCUAUUAUAUACCAUUGGUCUACCAGUCUGUUUGGGUGCCAAUACCAUGCUGUUUUUGUUACUAUUGCUGUGUAGUAUAGUUUAAGAUCUGGUAUAGUGAUGCCACCUGCUUAACUCUUCCUGGUAAGGAUUGCUUUAGCUAUUCUGGGUCUCUUACUUUUCCAGAUGAAUUUCAUGAUUGCUUUUUCUAUUUCUAUGAGGAAUGCUAUUGGCAUUUUAAUUGGAAUUUCAUUAAAUCUGUAUAGUGCUUUUGGAAGUAUGGUCAUUUUGAUAAUAUUAAUUCUGCCUAUCCAAGAGCAAGGUAGAUGUUUCCAUCUUCUAUGGUCCUCUUUGAUUUCUUUCUUUAGGGUUCUAUAGUUUUCAUUGUAUAGAUCUUUCACCUCUUUCAUUAAGUUGAUUCCCCAGUUUUUUUUUUUUUUUGAGGCUAUUGUAAAUGGGGUAGUUUUCCUCAUUUCCUUCUCAGAGGAUUUGUCACUUAUAUACAGAAAUGCCUUUGAUUUAUGGAUGUUGAGUUUAUAACCUGCUACUUUGCUGAAUUCAUUUACUAGUCCUAGAAGUUUUCUGGUGGAGUUUUUUGGGUCUUCUAGGUAUAGAAUCAUAUCGUCAGCAAAUAGUGCUAGUUUAAGUUCUUCUUUUCCUAUAUGUAUCCCUUUAUUUUCUUUCAUCUGUCUAAUUGCUCUGGCCAGUGUUUCAAGAACUAUGUUGAAUAGAAGUGGUGAGAGAGGGCAUCCCUGUCUUGUUCCAGUUUUUAGAGGGAAUGCCUUCAAUUUUUCUUUAUUUAGAAUGAUGUUGGCCUGGGGCUUAGCAUAUAUGUUGAGAUAUGUUCCUGUUAUCCCUAGUUAUUCUAGUGUUUUGAACAUGAAUGAGUGCUGUAUUUUGUCCAAUGCUUUUUCUGCAUCUAUUGAGAGGAUUAUAUGAUUCUUAUCUUUGAGUCUACUGAUGUGAUGAAUUACAUUUAUUGAUUUCCUUAUGUUGAACCAACCUUGCAUAACUGGAAUGAAUCCCAGUUUAUCAUGGUGGAUGAUCUUUUGGGGAUGUUUUUGUAUUCAAUUUGCCAGAAUUUUAUUGAGAAUUUCUGCAUCUACGUUCAUUAGAGAUAUUGGUCUAAAGUUUUUUUUCAUUGAUGUGUCUUUUCCUGGAUUUGGAAUCAGGGUGAUAUUGGCCUCAUAGAAUGAGUUUGUAAUUGCUGCAUCUUUUUCUAAUUCCUGAAAUACAUUGAAGAGAAUUGGUAUUAGUUCUUCUUUAAAGGUCUAGUAGAACUCUGCUGUGUAACCAUCCGGUCCUGGGCUUUUCUUGGUUGGUAGGCUUCUGAUGGUGUCUUUGAUUUCAUCACUUGAUAUUGGUCUGUUUAAAUUGUGUGUAUCUUCCUGAUACAGUCUGGGCAAGUCGUAUGACUUAAGAAAUUCAUCGGUGCCUUCACUAUCUUCUAUUUUAUUGGAAUAUAAGUUUUCAAAAUAAUUUCUAAUUAUCCUCUGUAUUUCUGUUGUAUCUGUUGUGAUAUUUUCUUUUUCAUCACAUAUGCUGGUAAUUUGAGUUCUCUCUCUCCUUCUCUUCAUUAGCGUAGCUAAGGGUCUGUCAAUUUUAUUUAUUUUUUCAAAGAACCAACUCUUAGUUUUGUCAAUUUGUUCAAUUAUUUAUUUUGUUUUGAUUUCAUUUAUUUCAGUUCUAAUUUUAAUUAUUUCUUGCCUUCUACUGGUUUUGCUAUUGAUUUGUUCUUAUUUUUCUAGGGCUUUGAGAUGUAAAGUGAGGUCAUUUAUUUGUUGACUUUUUCUUCUUUUAAGGAACGAACUCCAUGCAAUUAACUUUGCUCUUAGAACUGCUUUAAUAGUGUCCCAGAGAUUUUGAUAUAUUGUGUCUAUGUUCUCAUUUACCUCUAAAAAUUUUCAAUCUCCUCCUUGAUCUAUCCUGUGACCCAUUGUUCAUUCAGUAGCAUACUGUUUAGUCUCCAGGUGAUGGAGAAAUUUUAAAUUUUAUUUUGUUGUUGAUAUCCAAUUUCAUUCCAUUAUGAUCUGAUAAAAUGCAUGGUAGUAUCUCUACUUUUUUGUGUUUGCUAAGAGUUGCUUUGUGGCAUAGUAUAUGGUCUAUUUUAGAGUAGGAUCCAUGUGCUGCUGAGAAGAAAGUGUAUCUGCUUGAUGUAGGUUGAAAUAUUCUAUAUAGGUCAGUUAAGUCUAAGUUUUUGAUUUUAUUAUUGAGUUCUAUAGAUUCUUUAUUCAACUUUUAUUUUGAAGAUCUAUUCAGUGGUGAGAGAGGUGUGUUAAAGUCACCCAAGAUUAUUGUCUUAUGAUCAAUUUGACUCUUGAACUUGAGAAGAAUUUUUUUGAUGAACAUAGCUGCACCAUUGUUUGUGGCAUAUAUAUUUAUGAUUGUUAUGUCUUGUUGGUGUAUGGUUCCCUUGAGCAGUGUGUAAUGUCCAUCUUUAUCCCUUCUAAUUAACCUUGGCUUGAAGUCUACUAUAUUUGAUACAAGGAUGGAAACCCCUGCUUGUUUCUGCAGUCCAUGUAAAUGGUAUGAUUUUUCCCAACCUUUCACCUUCACUCUGUGUAUGUCUUUACCUAUCAGAUGAGAUUCCUGGAGGCAGCAUAUUGUUGGGUCCUUUUUAAAUCCAAUAUGCUACUCUGUGUCUUUGAUUGCUGAGUUUAAGCCAUUUAUUUUCAGGGUUACUAUUGAGAAAUGGUUUAUAUUACCAGCCAUAUUUGUUUAUUUUUGUUAUUUAACUUGACUUGAUUUUCUUCUUUGAUUCGAUUUUCCUUCAGGGUACUACCUCCCUCUAUUGAUUUUCAUUGUUGCUUUUUGUUUCUUCUUCAUGAAAUAUUUUGCCAUUGAUGUUUUGUAGUGUUGGUUUUCUAGCUAUAAAUUCUUUUAACUUGUGUUUAUCAUGGAAGGUUUUUAUUUCAUCUUCAAAUCUAAAGCUUAAUUUUGAUGGAUACAAGAUUCUUGGUUGGCAACCAUUUUCUUUCAGAGCUUGAUGUAUAUUGUUUCAGGAUCUUCUACCUUUCAGGGUCUGUGUUGAAAAAUCUGCUGUUAUCCUAAUUGUUUUUCCCGUAUAUGUAGUAUGUUUCCUUUCUCUUGUGGCUUUUAAAAUUCUCUUCUUAUUCUGUAUGUUGGGCAUUUUCAUUAUAGUAUGCCUUGGUGUGGAUCUGUUGUGAUUUUGUACACUCAGCAUCCUGUAGGCUUCUUGAAAUUGGAUUUCCAAUACAUUCUUCAUGUUUGGAAAAUUUUCUGAUGUUAUUUCAUUGAAUGGAUUGUUCAUUCCUUUAGUUUGGACCUCUAUGCCUUCCUCUAUCCAUAUAACUGUUAAGUUUGGUCUUUUUAAGCUAUUCCAUAUUUCUUGAAUUUUCUGCUCAUGUUAUUUUUUACCAUUAUCACUGUGUGGUCUAUGUUCUUUUCAAGAUUAUAUAUUUUGUCUUCAUUGUCUGAUGUCCUAUCUUCCCAGUGGUCUACUCUGUUGGUGAUGCUUUCAUUUGAGCUUGUAAUUUGGUUUAUUGUUUCUUUCAAUUCAAGGAUUUCUGUUUGGUUUCUUUUUUAGCACCUAUAUCUCCCUGUUGAGGUGAUCUUUUGCUUCCUGUAUUUGUUUAUGAAGCUCCUUGUCAAAGUGAUCUUUCACUGCCUGUAUUUGCUCUCUUAUAUCUUCCUUGAGUUCACAGAAAAUUUUAACCAUGUAUAUCCUGAACUCUUUUUUGUCAUUUUUUCUGCUGUGGCUGCCAAUGAUUCUAACGAUGUGGUGUCUUCAUUUGUUUGGGGCACUUUCUUCCCUUGUCUUUUCAUGUUGCUCAUAUGUCCUCCUUUCUAGCUCUGUGGGUCUAUAUUGUUGUUGUUUUUACCCUAUAGUUUUUUAGUGCUCUUGUAGGGUUCCAAGACCUCUCCUUUGUGGGGAAGGACAAAGUUAACAUAUCCCAAUAUCAACAAUAUACCACCUAUGAACAAUUUGUUGUUAUUAAGAUGUUUACAAUUUAGUCUCAAUGUACAGAAAUGUUGGAUUGAAUUAUCAUCUAAAAUAUAAUCAAUAGUUUUAUAAAAAGGUUUACAGUUUCUGACAGUGGACAAUAAACUGGGGGUGGGGCUUAGGACGAUAGGCUGAGGAUGUGGGAUGUGAGGAUAUAGAGUUAAUAUAUUUUAGGUAGUAUGAAGGAGAAAUCUAGUGGGGAGAGGGUUAGUAGCAAGAGAAUAAACAGGAAGUAAUUUAGGGUAGGCAAGUAUGGGGGAUGACAGUCAUAAAUAAAACAAGCAUACAUAUGUAUUUAGAAAAAUACAGAUGUUAAAACAGUAAAAUUUGGAGAGGUAAAGGAAAAUAAAAGAAUAAAAAGGAAAAGAGGGGCUGGGGAUGUGGCUCAAGUGGUAGCACACUCGCCUGGCAUGCGUGGGGUGCUGAGUUUGAUCCUCAGCACCACAUAAAAAUAAAAUAAAGAUGUUGUGUCCACCGAAAACUAAAAAAUAAAUAUUAAAAAAUUCUCUCCCUCUCUCAAAAAAAAAAGGAAAAGAAAAAAAAGGGUAUAUACAACACCUCUAUAUUAUAUUAUUCAGAUGACUCAGUCCUCAAAGUCUUAUUUCUUACAAAGUUCUUGGUUUUACAUAUGUUGGCGAUGUGAGGGCUGGAGGAUGGAAGGGUAGAAAAGAAAAAAUCAACCAACCAACAAACAAAAAACUUGAAGGAAGAAGCCAGGGUUGUAGGUAGUUUUAGAGAUCCUUAUCUUUCCUGCUUCUCUGCUCAUCUAGUAGGUGGCAUCAUCUGUUGUAAGCUGGUGUCUCUGCCCUCUGGAUGGUAGAGGUAACCAGGGUGGGAAGACUGGUCCUGGUGCAGUGCGCCUGGAUGCGGGGAGUGGCACCCACCAGUCCCUGCAGAAAGACUGGACCUCAUGGGUCUCUUUUUGGAACUGCUCACUCGAGUGACAUCAGCGCCAGGUACUAUCUCCCUCUCUUGCCUGUAGAUUUCCCAAUUCCUGGUGUCUCCCUCUCCCCAGCAGUCAGUUCCCAAUUGAGGAAACUCUAACCCCGGGGAAUCUCCUGGAUGGCUCCCUUGUUGCCCUGCACACCUGGGUUGGGCAGCUACUGUGUUGUGUCACUGCUGCUGGGGAGGGGUAAGGUUGGAAACCUGGUACCUGGCCACUGGCAAUCAAAUUUGGGAACUGUCCCCACCUAACAUGGCGAGAAUGUUGAGCCAAGAUGCCAGUGGUCUGCUUUCAGCGAGGGGGUGUCUGGUGAGGUGGGGGGAGCGUAUUGAGGUGGGGGGAGCCAGGCGAUGCUGUUGUGCUGUGGGCAGGUAGCAGCUGAGUGACUGCGUGGUGAGUGGAGCAACGUCUUGCGAUCUAUAGAUGUGUUGAUAGUGAGUCUUGUGUGGAUUGGAACUUCAGGCUUUUUGUCCUGCUCUAAUGCCGGGCAUCCUACUCAAACGCUGAGGCCUGGAGCCCCACAUGGGGUCACAGUGCUGGAGAUUUCUGUGGAGAGCAGCUGGAUAGGUGUCCUCUAAUACUCUCAGAGAUGGGGUAUUCCGACUAGGUGAGAUCUGUGGGCGCAGUGGUGGGGAGCUCGCAGUGGCUCACUCCUAGGCCCUACCUCUUAAGGGUUGCAUGGCACCUCAAAAUAGUCCCACUCUGGGAACCAAACCUCUAAUCAUAUGAACCUUUGUGGGGUCACAUGUUAACUGUAUCCAAACCAUAGCAAUGAGAGUUUCUUUCCUUGAUUUUACUAGCUUCUACAUUUCGCUUGAGUUCCUUAGCUCAUGGACCCCUUCUAGUAUUUGCAUUAUUCUGAUUUCUGCUUUCCUCACAUAUUUUCUGAUUCUGACUCUCUGCCUCCCUACCUUACUUAUAAUGACCCUUUUGAUUACAUCGGACCACCCAGAGAAUCCAGUAUAAUCUCUAUAUUUCAAGAUCCUUAACUUAAUUAGGGACAUCUGCAAAGUUCUUUUUGACAUAUAAAGCAACAUUUUCACAGGUUUCCUGGGCUUAGGACAUGGACAUCUUUAAGUGACUGUUAUUUUGCUUAUAACAUGGCAAAAAUACCCACUCCUUUAGAGCCAUCCAUUCAUCUAUUCAAAUUGCUGCAUAAAUGCAAAAUUACUGUUCACAUCAGCCUUAACUGUGUCAUUGCAUCAAUUAAACCCUCUGUGACUCAACACCAUCAUUUGCAAAACUGAAAUAUUUUACACAUCUUUAAAUUUUGUUGGGGUAAUUAACAAGAUAAUAUAGGUGAAAAUAACUGCUAUUAACUAAAGUGGCAACAACAGCAAUAAUAAUAAUGACAUUCUGUAGUGAGAACCAAAAAUUCCUAAUGAACAUUAGUUAUACUAAAAUGCAUAAUAAAGUCCUUGAGACAGAUUGAAUAUACAUAUAUUUUUGAUACUGGGGAUUGAACCUAAGGGUGCUUUACUACUGAUCUGCAUCUGCAGCCUUUUUAAUUUUUGAGACUGAGUCUCACUAAAUUGCUUAGGGCCUCAAUAAGUUGCUGAGGUUCUCUUUGAACUCAUGAUCCUCCAGCCUCAGCUGCCUGAGUCACCAGGAUUAUAGGUAUAUGCCUGGCAGAUUGAAUAAUUUUUAUUAAUUUGAAGAAAAUUAAUUUAAAUACAAUCAAAUCAUUAUGGAAAAUAAUGGAGUCCAUUUAUUAAGUUCUCUUAUUAAUUCUGACUUAACUUCCCUGUUAGUAUUUCCACGUCAGAGAGUGAGUUUGGUGUGCUCAAAUAUUUCAAGAAUUAAUUCAUCAGAAAUUUUAGGUUAAUUCUGAUAUUUGCAUACUAGAUGCUGAUAUUCUAAUGAUGCUUUUGGGUGAGUUCAGUAUGUUUUUAGUUCAGGCAGAUCCUCUUAAAAUUGUACCAUGUAAUGGGGAAGAUGUCUGGUAACUUAGACAUAUCCUGAGGUUUACAUCAGACAGCUACAGACACUUACAACAUAAUUCAUACUCAUAAAUCUUUGAAUAUCUGCUAAAAUGCUAACAUAAUUUCCACCAAGUAGUUCUAAAAUUCUUUGGAAUAUGUGAUUUCCUUGAGCUCAAGGCAGUUUGGUAAUGAGAAAUAAAUGGAGUCUCCAGAUGUCUGCUCCAUCCACAUGUGCAAUUUGCAUCUGCAUACCUGUCCUUCUUUGUGAAUAAAUAAACAUUACUGUCUUCUAGUCCUGAAUAUUCUUUAAGACACAAAAGUUCAAGUUUAUUGUGUCCAGUUGUUAUAUCAGCAAGAACAUAAAGCCUUGUGAGCCAUGAGGGGUUCAACAAGUCAGAUAUUUCAGAAUCCAUGAGUUCCCCAAAACCUUUGCUUUAAGAAAAAAUUUCAGUAAAGUUUUUUAGUCUUGACAUUUAACUGCAUGAAAAUAAAAUCUAAAAAAUAGCCAAUAAAUGGAAAAUACAAAACAACUCCAACAUACACCUGCUGUGGUCCAAACUACAAAUUUUGAGAACGACUUGAUGACAGUUGGGUACACCAAACUUUCCUUUUAAAAUGAAAAUUUAAAUGACAUGAAACUUUAAAAUGUUCCCAUCUUUCAUUAUAGGCACUAAAUAUGUGACCAAUUGAACCUACUUCUUUGUUUAAUCCAGACUACUAAGAUUUCUUACCAGCUGUGGUUAUGCUCUGCUAAUAAUGUGCAGCAUAACUAGUGAAGUAAUGUUUUCCCUAAUACCCCAGAUGGGCUGCAUGUGGCCUCCUGGCAUAUGCUGGAGGAUACAGAUUCAAAAGACUCAGAGUUGUAUCAGGUCAUGGUGUUUGGGGAGAUUUGUGAAAGCAUCAUUUGACUCUAUGGGAAUAAUGAACCAUUAAGCUGAAGAUACAAUAUAGAAGAGAGUUUCCAUUACUGAAUGUUUUAUAAACCAGUUCCUCUGCUAAUAACUUCACAUAUGUAAUUGCAUUAUUUCCUCCUGACAGUAUCUUUUAUGCAUACUAGAUGGAGGUAAGUGCAAAAGAGAACAAUUGAGCAGGAAAGAAGACAAACAGUAUAAGAAGAGGUGUAAAGCAAUUUUAAAGAAGUGACCAAGGAAAAAAGAUGACAUCUGAACACAGCACUAAAGUAGGUGAGUAAGCAACCAACAGGGAUAUAUACAUACCUGAGGCAAAAUCUUUGAAUGCCUGUGUAAAAUCCACAGGGACCCUGCUAUAUGCUAUGACAACUGAAAGAAGACUGAUUUGAUGGAGGACUACUAGGGAAAUAAAGCAAAAAUUUAAGAGAGUGAGGUAUGAAGGAUAUAUGUCUAAGGAUUUGUAUGUAAUAGAAGCUGUGGCUUGUACCACUAUGAAGAUGGCAUGCAUUGUUUGCCCUUGCAGAUAACCUUUCCACUUGUCUCCUUUCCACUCUCAGUGGACCUCGGGAGGCAGAAUCUGUGGAUUGCACCACCCUGGAUCCCAUGUCUGAUGGCUUCCAUUCAUUCAGAUCUGGCCAGUUGGAAGAAUACACUGGCAGGAGAGCAGAGAAACAAGAACCUCUGUCCUGGUUAUGUAUAUCCACAGUUCUCCUCAAGCAACCUUCUCACAUGACUGUGGUUCUCACAGUGUCCUGGUGAAAUUGUUCCUUCCCUUUACUUAUUCAGACCUGGGCAAGGAAAGGCUUCCAGCUAUUGGUAGUUCCUAUUUGUUUUACUGUUUCCUAUUGUUUUCUUUAACCCCCUCUAAGUAUAGUCUCUUCAUUAGACUGUUCUGUUAAAUAUUCUCAAUAUAUUCUCUCUCUCUCUCUCUCUCUCUCUCUCUCUCUCUCUCUCUCUCUCUCUCUCUCUUUUCCCCUCCCUCCUUCCCUCCCUCCCUCCCCCCCCCCUUUUGGUACUGGGAAUUUAACCCAGAGGUGCUUUAACACUGAAUUGCAUCCUCAGUCCUUAUUAUUUGAAAUGGGAUCUUGCUAAGUUGUUUAGGGCCUCACUAAGUUGCUGAGGCUAGCCUCAAACUUGUGAUCCUCCUGUCUCAACCUCCUCAGUUGCUAGGAUUACAGGCCUCUACCACCACUCCUGGCUUCAAUGUAUAAUCUAUUCUACUCUGCCAAAACCCUUACUUGCCUCCUUUUAGUUAAUUCUCAAAACAACAACCAAGUUUUCCUUUUUGGUUCCCUGGCCAUCUUAGCAGCUGCUUUUGAUUGUGUGCCAUCUCACACCUAAGGCAGCAAGAUGGUGACCAUGAAGAAGAUGAAAAAGUUAUUGGAAUCAAUGAGAAUCACCUGAAUCAAACAGAAAGCCAUUAGGAAGGUUUUGAACAAAGUGUAGCAUCUCUGAUAUUUUAAAAUAAUAGUGUUGUCAGCCUGUUUUCUUGUAAAACUAGCCUUGGAAAGUGAUAUUAAAGAAAAAUUCUGCAUGAUUUAGUGAUUUGCUUUUUACCAGCCCAUUCAGGCAUGCUUCUGAUUAGAGAAUCACUGAAUUAAUGAUAUCCAGGUGCUCUAUAAUCUUAUAAUUAUACUCUAUAAUCUUCCCACAUGCUGUGCCCAUUUCAAUGUUAUUGCCAUUGUGGUGAUGAACACCAGUUUUUACCAACAAUGGCAUAGUACUCUAUUUUGGAUUUCUUCAUGACUGGGCAGUUGUUAGCAAUGAUCACCAAUUUUUCUUUUUGCUGUCUGAUCAUCUUCAGAGUCAGCUUCUACUCACAAGGUCCAGUAUAUACUUUCUGCUUCUUAUGUUGAGUUGGAGUCUAGAAUUGAUUGACUCCAAUGACUUUUUCAUCUUCUUCAUGGCCACCAUCUUGCUGCCUUAGGUGUGAGAUGGCACACAAUCAAAAGCAGCUGCUAAGAUGGCCAGGGAACAAAAACAGGAAGGCUUGGUUGUUGUUUUCAGAAUUAACUAAAAGGAGGCAAGCAUAUAAACAGCAAGACUAUUUAACAACAAUAACAAAUUCUGGUAAAGUUUGUAAAAUAUACUAACAGACCCUGAUUUAGAAUAUAACCAAGAGAACAUUCAUGUUGUACAUCCAUAUUAAAGAUCUCAUUAUCCUAGAAUUUGUCAACUCUGAUUAUUAAAAUUGAUUGUUUUGCUUAUUCUUUGUUGUCUCCAACUGCCAGUUGAAGAAAUGAAAUUAAAAUAAAAUCCCCUCAAAUAUGUAUACAUUGGCAUUCAUCAGUCUCAAUCUUUGUAAUCUAAAUUUUAGCCUGGAGCUUUAAAGUUUUAAAAACUGAUUAAAUGCAAAACAAUGCAUAGAAUCUUAUAAAUAUUGAGACAAUAAUGAAUUAUCAAAGAACCAACAGUGAUGCUAUUGCAGGGGCUAUAAAAUAGACAUUUCAAAAUAUAUGAAUAAACAUUAGAGAGAGUGAAUGGAAAUAUGGUGACAUGUAAAAGAAAGUACUAAGAUUGUACGAAUUGUAGCAAAAAGGCAGGAUUCUCCAGCUACCACUGAACCAUGUACCUCUGAGGCUUGAUCUUCAUCAUAUACUACUCUGUAUCUGUUGUUAGCACAUGGAGGGAAUUUAUUAUUGUACAGACAGAACAUGAAAAUUUCUAAGAAGACAGGUCUAAUUGUGUUUUCUCAUGGGGCAUAUGAUCUUACUGAGAUGACAACAAUGUCCCAAAAAAUGAAAUCCAGUUUUGUCUUCUAUUUCUGUUUACAGUGCAGGCCUAGACUAUCAAUCCAAAAAUUGCACAGUAUGAAUAAAACAAAUGUUGUAAAAGAAUUUUCUGAUCCUCAAGAUUACUUAAACAGGGGCAAGUGCUGGGGGUAAUAUUGGCCAUAAUAUAUUGUUAUAUUAUGUACAUGUACUAAUAUGUAACAACAAACCCCCACCAUUAUAUACAAGUAUAAUGUGACAAUAAAAAUUUGGGAUAAAAAAAGAUUUCUUAAACAACUUUGCAUUUGUUAUGAGAGGGAUGCCCGUUGACUGACCACAUCCAUCUUGUCAGAUGUGAAACCUAAUCCCAGCAAUAACUCAGGGAAACCAUUACUGACCUUGUGACUCUUGCUCUCUUAGCUAAGUUACAUAGGGUGAAUUUACAAGUGGGGACAGAUUUUGAUGUAGUUGAAAGUCACAUGAACCAGAUGGCUAUAGACAGGCCAAGCAUCCUGUGCCUGUUCAGUUUUUGUUUGGGUCUGGAAUAGAAGCCAUGCUAUCUCAGCACAAAUAAGACAUUUUUUUUAAAUGGAAGGGAGGUUAGACACUCAGCUGUGCCACCUGGCACCAUUAAAAGAAUGAGCUUGAACUGAUCAUGUUCAAGUGGAUAUUUUAAGUGUAAAAUCAACAGAAGUAAGUGAGAGAGAAAGAGAGGGAGAGAAAAACUAACAUUGUAAUAAAAGAGAUAGUUAAAAUGACCUUGCUAGAGGUGUGUUUUCCACCUGGCAUUGUAAAUGCCAAAAGGAUGAUUGCUUCUCUUUCCUUUAUAUCAAGCCAAGACAGGGCAGAGGCAGAUAAGUCCUUAGUAACAUGCACUAAAACAAAUUCAAGGAUGGAGAGGAAAAUUAGCAUCCUGGGAGUGUGAAAAUUCUUCAAAGCUUGGUGAUAGCCACUGUCCUGGAUCCAAGUAUGAGUUUUAAUUGGUAGGAAAAAAUGCAACACCAAAUAAUUAAAACUUUCUUUUUGUAAUUUGCACAGUUUCAAAAAAAUCUCUAUUUCUUUCCAAAGGCUAUGUAGUUUGCCCCAGUAUCAGGUUGAAAUAAUCUGACUUUCCCAUGAGUCUUCUUAAGUAAGUUCAUUAAAUAUCAGGCAGACUGCUUCCUUCUAGGGCAGAAGAAAGUAUUCAUUAUGCUUAAUUAUGAGUAAGUAGAACUAGUAUUUAUAUUAAUAUAAGCAUUUUCUGUCAUUCAUGAUGGAAAAUUGGGGGGAGAAUUCAGGAAGCUAAAUUCCCUGGGAUAUUAGGAGGGAAAAUAAAUAGAGUCAAAUCAGAGAAUGCAGAUUGACAAAACAAAACGAAACAAAGCAAUACUGGGCAUGGUCGUACACACCUGUAACCCUAGCAACUGGGGAGGCUGAGGCAACCUGGGUAAUUUAGUGAGACCCUGUCUCAAAAUGAAAAAUAAAGAGGCCUGGGGAUGUGGCUUAGUGAUAAAGUACUACUAGGUUUAAAAGUUAGUACUAAACCAAACCAAACAAAACCAAACAAAACAAAAAUAAUAAGAAGUAUGUUCUCUCUGAUAACCUGAAGAUCAGACUGAAGUCAGAAUUCUAUUAUGUUUGACUAAGGACAGGGAAAGUUCUAGUGAGAGUUGGGGGAAAACAUUGUCAUUUUUUUCUACAGAUAUGUCAUCUUCCUUUUUAAAUUGCUCAGCAGCUCAGUACAAAAUCUCCUGAUGGGUAUCUCAGUUAUGUCUGUUUUCUGUGUGAAGUUAAUCCCAUGUGGAGUUUUCUAUAUAAUAUUUAUAUUUAGGGAUUUUUUUGUCCUCCUUAGAAAAUAAAGACUUUAUCUUUGUUAAAAAUAUAUUUAUAGGGUCCAUUAAAGGAAGUUCAUUUGGAAGCUCAGAACAACCUUGCUUAAUUGGAAGGGAUUAAAAACAAAAACAUAGGUGGUUUAGGAUUGGUGAGGGGGCAGAACAUACUGUGUAUCUCAAAUUCUUUAUCUGUCUCCAGUCCUCAUUUUUGCAUCUUGUUUUCCAUGGCAAUAGACCAUAUUUAGCUCAGAAAAUAGAUGUCAUAUGCAUCUCAUCUUUUGUUCAAUGUGCAAUUGAGGAGGUGAAGCAUUAUUUUCAUGCACAGAAAAGAUUAAAAUAAAGGCUAUGAGUAAACCAAAGUUUAAAGCAGGAAGGAAUUAAAGAAGGCAGAUUUACAGAGCCUUCCAAAAUACUUGAUUGCAAAUUCAGAAUUAUAGUUGUUUUUGCAUUAUUUGCCUUUACAUGUCAGAGAGGGGGUUGAAAUGCAUGGAAGAAAGUUUGUGUCUUUUAUCUAUGGGAAAAAUUAGGGCUAUCAUUUUCAUGUUUCUUCUGACUGCUAUUUCUGGUGAUUCUAAAGCUAUUAAAUGCUAUGAAAUGUAAACUCAUUCUAAUACACUCAAGGAACAGCCAAUUUACACAACAGCUGGGGAAAGAAAAUCACAGCCACUCUAUUGGACCAGCUGAAUUGUGAGAAAGGAAUUUCAUACCCCUCCAGCUGACGCAGCAUGUAGAUCAAACUGGCAGCUAUAUUUUAGGGAAAAUAUGUCACAACAGACAAAUGUAAGAAAAGGACAAAUCCACAAAAAGGAUCCUCUUCAAAUGAAUCACCAUAGUAGGAAAACUGCAGAAUGAGUAAAAGGUUAGGCAUCAUCCUCUCAAUAUUUAGAAAGCCCCUCAUACCCAUUCCAACCACCAAAAGAUUCAGUAAAUUUUUAGAAUUCACUCACAGAAACAGAAUUCAUGAGCCAGAAUUUCCUAAAUAUAUUCCACACUGGUAUCUUUGUACUAUCCUUAGGUAUAAAAUUCUCACAGAACUGUCAAUAAUGAGGUGGAUCUACAAGCAAAAAGAAGAUAAAAGGGGAAAAAAACCAUCAGGUAUAUAUUUUGUGUAUGUACCAGUCAGGGCAUACAACUCCACACUUUAGAAAUGUGCUAAAUAUAAACUUAUUUUCAAAAUGUGCUUGGCACAUUUGCCAAGUGGUGCAUUGUAUUGAGCUUACCAUGUGGCAAAUGUUAUUAUCUGUGAAUCGGGUACUAUUAUUUCUUCCAUUGGGACUGAUAAGAAAGUACCUUCUUCAAGUUUACACAGCAGAGGAAAAGCUGGGUUACAAACUCAGAUCAAUGAUAUGCCAAAGAUUACCUGGUAGUCACCUACUUUUACUUGAAUUACUCUGUGAUGGUGAGAUUGCUAGAGUUCCCAAUUCCCUGAGGAAGUAGGUUUGUGGUGUUUUGUAUGUGUAGAUGCGCAUAUGCAUGCAUGCUACUGGUGACUGAACCCUGAGAUGCUUUACUACUGAACUACAUUUCUAACCCUAUCUAUCUAUCUAUCUAUCUAUUUUUGAGACAAGGUCUUGCUGUACCCAGGAUAUCCUUCAAUUUGCAGUUCCCCUGCCCCAGCCUCCUGAGUAGUUGAGUUUAUUUAUGGGCACCACCACACACAGAGGGUUUGUGAUGUGAACAACUUAGAAUAUCAUCCUAUGUCCUCCACUCAUUUCUUUUGGCAAGAAGUCAUGGAGCCAUAGAGAUGCAAUCUAAUUCCUUCUUUGAACGAUAAAUAUUCACAUAUUUGGAAGUUCUUAUCAAUAUGAUUUUGUAUUCUAUACUGAAGCUUCCCUUCUCAUUACUGAAGUUUCCAACUGUAUUUCACAUGGCAGAUACUGGGUCUCUGAAUUUCUAGCUCUUGGGAAUGUUGUAUGUUCUCUGUGCUCCAAUCUUUACAACUCUAAAACAACGUCCAUAUUAUCUAUCACUUAGCUUAGUUGAGCUGGUUUAAUACUGAAUUGAUAUAUGUAAACUCUUAACUACCUGACAAAUAGCAAGCAGUCAAUAAAUUUUUGUUAUUAAGAAUAUUCUUCUUGGGCUAGUGUUGUGGCUCAGUGGUAGAGCACUUGCCUAGCAUGUGUGAGGCACUGGGUUCAAUUCUCAGCACCACAUAUAAAUAAAUUUAAAAACAAAAUAAAUAAAGGUCCAUUGACAACUAAAAAUAUUUUUUGAAAAAAGAAUAUUAUUUUUAUUAUUAUCAUUACCCAUAGAAUAAUUGUAGUGAUUUAUUUAUGAUCACAUAGGUAAAAUCUCUGACAUAGAUCAUGGAACAAUCUAACCAUUCAAUAUAUGUAAAGUUCUUACUGUUUCCAUCACCAAGGAUAUAAUGUAUGGGUAGGCUCCACGACUCCUUUCAGUCCUGUGGGAGUUUAUUUUUUUCUUCAGUUUUCACACUUGAUGGGUUGCUGCUACAAUAGACCAGUCGGAUUUCUUAACUCUGUAUUAGCAAUAGAUUUUUGUUAUGUAUAUUUCCUUCUUAGACAAAUAUGACCUCUGACUUUGGAAUGAAUGCCAUUCCAUUCUAUUGUAUGUCAAGUGCAGAAAAAAAAAUCAACAAUCUGCUGCAAUGCCUUGAUAAAUGUGUCUUUCCAUGGGACCAGUCAUUAUGAUUCUGGAAUGUUUGAAGAAUGUUCUUGAAGACAGUGGUGGACAUUCUCCACGCCCACCAGUGGGCCAGCAGCAGGGUCUCAGCAAUGAAUGUGUGUCACAGUACAGAUGCUCAAGAUUUUCAUUAGGCUCUACAGCUGCAACACGUCAAGGGAUGCUUUCCCAGGAAAAACAUAGCAGUGUGAAUGAACCUCCAUGUGAAGAGUAAACACGUUUUACUGUGAAAUUUUAUGAGGUAAUUUUCUAGGCAUUUUCUGCUUUCUCUAUUGUUUUGAUCAGCUGAAUAAUAAUUGAAACUAUGUCACAUGCACACAUGCACACACACGGGACACACACACAUAUGAAACAUGUAUUUAACAAUAUUGAACACAUUGAGAAUUUUCUCUCUCUGUCUCUCUGUCUCCCUCUCUCUCUCUCUCUCUCUCUCUCUCUCUCUCUCUCUCUCUCACACACACACACACACACACACACACACACACACACCUAAUUAGUGUGGGAAAAACAAUUAAAAAAACCCACAGGGCACCUGCAUCAUCUGUUUAAUAACUGCCGUGAAGUAUAUGCAUGAUAGGAAGAUAGGGAAGCCAAGUGCUGAGCCAGUUAUCUGGUAGUACCAGGUGUAAGCAGGCCUACAUCAUGGGCACUGCUAAGCAUGUAAUUACAUUAUGAAUGGUCUUCAUGCAAAUUGGCCAUGGAAACAUUGGCAUAUUUUCAUGCUGAGAAAGGAAAGAAUUAUAUCAUUCUUCACAUUCUGAAAUUAAAAACCAUCCUUUUAAAAAUAAAUUUUUCUUUUAUUAGUGCAUUAUAAUUAUACUUCAUUGUUGGGUUCAGUUAGACAAGAUCAUACAUGCAUAGAACUUGAUUUAAUCCAUUUUAAUCCCCAGUGCCCUCUCUUUCCCUCCCACCCUCUAUUCCCCUAUUUUACCUCUACUGUACUGAUCUUCCCUUCACUUGUUUAUUUAUUUGUUUUUUUUAUUGGUGCUUUAUAGUUAUACAUAAAGGUAGAAUAUAUGUAUUUAUACAUGCACAUAGUAUAAUUUUGUUAAAUUUAUUCUGCGUUCCUUCCCCUUUCCUAUCCCUCCUUCCUCCUUCUCAAUUUCCUUUUCUUUUCUAUUCAUCUUCCCCAUAUGUUUACAAUAUCUGAUCCUCUGCCUUUAUCCCUUCCCUUACUCUUAUUCUUUCUCUUCUAAAACCAGCUAUAUUUACUUUAAUCACCAUUUUCAAACUCAUAAAUCUACUAAUAAACUAUAGGAAAAAUGAAUUUUAAAAUAUUGAGUCAAAUCAAUUUUCAUAUUGAUUUUUGCUUCCCAAAAUAUAUUUAACUACAAUUCUGUAAAGCUUAACAUGUUCAAUUAUUUUUCAUAAUUAUAUAAAAAUUAUUAAAUCCUGGAAUUCAAUAUAAUCCUUCAAAGUACAAGUACUUUAAACUACUACCAUCAAUAUUUUCUAACCACAGAUGUUUUCACCCUGUAAAACCUAGCUACAUGAUUGCAAACAAAAAAAAAAGUAGAUUAAAGAAAAACAAUAAAUAAAAUGUGAUUCAUAUGAACAGACGGACAUUUUGACAUUGUUUUGGAUGUUAGAUUUUCUAUUUACUUUUAAUAACUGGAGUUAUUAUCUUUCAUACACUGAAUAUGCAUGGGAUUCUUUUGCAUUUAUUUUACAUCUUUUUUUCCCUUUUCCUAGGAAGAAUUCCUAAGUCGUUUAAUUAUCUAUUGUAGAUAUUUGCUGCCUGGGUCAUCAGCAUGCCUAUGCCUGCAACAAAAUGCAGAUGAUCUCAGAGCCCUUUGUUGAAAACAGACUGGUUGAAUGUUAUAUAUCCUAAAGGUACCCAGGAUUGUUUUCAUCAGGCAUGGAAUGACUAUUUUGAAGGAAUGAUUUUUUUUAUACUCACAGAUCUCUAGAAAUGGGAGGCACAUCACACUAUGCAGGACUACAUGCAGAAGCACCAGGGUUAGUUAGGAAGGGACAGGGGAGGGAAUGUGUACAAGAGCUUUUAUUGUGGUUUCUGCAGGAAGGAAUGGGUGAGUCCCCAUAAGCAGAUAUAGGAUUGGCUAAUUUGAAUAAUUUCAGGAGGCUAUGAGCAAUAUAUGCCCCUAGUUGUCUGGAACCUGGGCCUGGAUUGUUUAGGGAAGGUGAAUAGUGGUCUGGAAUAUAACAGCCUGAUAAUAGAGAUAGUUGAGUGUGUGGGCUCUGGAUUGAUGGGUUUGCAAAUGAAAUCUAUGCUCCCAGGGUAGUGGUUUGCUCUCUCUAGGAACUAGCUAACUCUGAGUGGGUCAUCCUCUCCCAAGUCAGAAAGACUCUAAGAUCCAAAAUGUGAAAACAAGAGAAUAUAGAAAAUACUACUCAUUAUUAAUGAGGUUUAGGUGCCCACAGUGAGAGAAACACUGGCUUGUGAGUUCCUCAAGGGAGAUUUGUUUUAUCUCUCAUGUCCAUCCAGAGCAGAAAAUUUGGCCCUUGGGAAGUGGUUAUAAAUAUUUGGCAUAUUCUGGGUCAUAGACUUCACUACUGGUAAAUUCUGCAUGAAUUUGAAUUAUGUAAAAUAUUUUAGGAGGAAAAACAAAACCCUGAGUUAUAACUGUAACUUCUUUAAUAAUAACACCAAUCUGUAGCAUUUAUUUUGGUGUACCUCAGAUUGACUAGGUUGCUGCCUAUGCUUCCAAAUAAUUGACAGGGAUGAAUUUCAAAUGGAACAUUGGAUUCAGUGUAUGAGCUCUUUGAUGAGCACUACCCCCCUCCCCUGCCCUGCUUACUUGCUAAAUCUAUGCACUUCUCUUUCCUAGCAUCUGUGUAUCUGUUUAUGCUCACUACCAUGGUGCUUAGGAGAUCAAACACAUCUGUCAGUCAGUCCGACAGCAACCAUUUAUUGAGCACCCAGGAGGGUACAUAACCCACAGAGUGAAUCAGAGUGAAUAACAAGAACCAAGCUAAAUUACUAUUGCCAAAAUGAGUGGAAGCAACAGGCUCCUCUUUAAGGAUGAGCAAAUUCAAGUUGUUCUCAUUUUUAAAAGAUAUUUUGGGAAUAAUGAAUUCAGAAGAUUUUGUCAAGCAUUAUUCCUUAACAUUUUGGAAAAUAGAUUGUCCUUAAAGGAAAUCUGAGUGCAUUCAGUUUAGGCUCAUUUCAUAUUACUUCAUCAAGUUACGAAUUUAUAAAAGCUGUUUUACAUUUUGUAAAAUCCUUUGUGAUUUUUUUAGUGAAAGUUUUCUUUUUUUAAAAUGGAAAAAUAUUAGUGGAAAUUAAUGCCAACAGUGAGACAUCUCUUUAAUACAUAAAGUGUUAAAGUUCAAACAACCCUUAUCUUUUUUAAGAAGAGUACUAAAGUUUGAGUUUUGUUUUGGGAGGGGUAUGCUUUGGAUUUGCUUUCUGGUUAUGUUGCAUAAAUUCAGCUACCUGACAUAAAAGUAUAUAUUAAACCUUUCAAUAGUCUAUCAAGCACUUUGAAUGCUGGUUGACCUUGCAAUAUCUUGCUAUCCUUUCCUUUUGAUUCCUCUAUCCCCAGUACACUAAGCACUUAAUCAUGGUUUUCUUUUAAUUCCAUGUUAGGUUAUAUCUCCCUAUUGUACUCUUUUUUAAGUGUUAUUCUGUAUUUCAUAAAAGUUAUUAUUGUUUCAAAAAAUGUUUAAUGUCUGUCUUUCCUACUAGAAUAUAAAUGCAAAAAGUUAUGACUGAAGUCUGGCUUUUUGAAGGAAUAUAGCCCCCUAGCUUAGCAUAGUACCUUUUUAUUUGAUUGCUCAGGAAAUGUUCUAAAAUAAAUACAUUAGUGAUUGUUUUUGGAUUUCUUCUAGGUAUGUAAAGCAUGCAGAUUGUACCUGAUGAUCUGUGAGUUAAAGCUGAAAAUGGGGAACAUUUAAAUGCUUAUCCCUCCUCCCUAGUCUCCUUCAGUGAGGGAAUGUAAAAUUAAAAGUAAAACAGGAUUGAACUCUCUCUCCCUGCCUCUCCCACCCUCUCUUCCUCUUCUCUCCUCUCCUCUCCUUUCCUCUCCCCUCCUCUCCCUCUCUCUGUUUUGGAAGAUGAGGAAGGAGGAGAAAUAAGUAGAGAAUACCGAAGAUCCCUGUGACCUUGACAUGACUGACAUAGAGAAGAUAUAAUUAUACACUAAUUUGGAGUAGCAAAUUCAGUAAGUUAUAAAAACAAAUAAAAAGACAAUUUACUAAUGGAAGAAAGAAAUAGAAUAUAAAUCUGAAGAAAGAAAAAGUAAUUGUUUUAUUUGCUGUUUAGCUUGUGUAUGCUGUCUCUUGAAACAUUAAUCUGCUUUAGUUAACAAGAUUUAUCAUAUGAUAUCAAAAUAAAAGAUUGUUUUUCAACUUUGGAUGAAAAAUGCUUUUAUAUCUAGAAUAUUUCUUCUACUAGAAGCUUGAUUGGUCACAUUUUAUUUAGUGGCAGCUGUUGGCUUCAGGGAAUGUCAAGGAGAAUAGAGGAGAUGAGGAAGAGGGAGAAUGUGCAAAAGAGGGAAAGAAUCGACUCCAAUUUCCUCAACUCCCCUCAGGUACUCUCAGUACAGGCUGAACUGAAGAUGCAGUCGUAGCCAGUUGUCUAUAGAUGUACACUGCACUUCAGCCUGCCCAUGCUUAAUCAUUAUGAGUUGCCUAUUUUUACUGCCCAAACUCAAUACUUGGACUCAAGAGUAUAUCUGUGUGGUGCUGAACAGCUCUGCGACAAAGAGAAAAAUCCAUUUCAUUACAACAAUCUCUUUUUCUGUUUCAAAGAUUACUCAAUGUUUCUGAAGAAACAGGUAAAUCAAAGUCAGGUUAGAUGGUUAUUAAAAAUAUGGAAUUUGAACCUUGUUAAAAACCUCAUAAAUUAGAAUUACUGGGUAUGUAGUCUGGGAAUAUGCAUUUUAUUAAUCUCUCCAGGCAAUGCUGAUAAGCAAUAGGACUAAGAACUCUAGUCAAUGUAAUACUAAAUAAGCAAUGCAGUUGACUUUUUAAUGAUUUUUUGCACCAUUUAUUGCUUCAAGCCAUGUAUUAAAAGUCAGAAACCCCAUCUGUACAAGUUUAAAAGUAAGAGAUUUACCUUUAAAAAAAUAGAAUUUGUCUUUAAAAGACCCUCUUCCUCAUCUCCUCUAUUCUCCUUGACAAAAUGGGUCUUUGCUUUGUUCCUAACAGUGACUUUUGGGAAAAAUAGGCUGCUUAUGAAACUGUUGAUAUUUGUGCUUUCAACCCACAAAAUGAUGAUUUUCUAAGGUUCAGCUUAAUGGUUUAACUCUCUGAGCACCAUUUCCAGAAUUUGUUCUUUUAAUUUGUUCUUUUUAGUUAUACAUGACAAUAGAGUGUAUUUUGAUAUAUUAUACAUACAUGUAGUAUAACCUAUUCUAAUUAGGAUCCCAUUCUUGUGGUUGUACAUGGUAUGGAGUUUCAGGGAUCAUGUAUUCAUGUAUGAACAUAGGAAAGUUAUAAGGGAAGGGGAAUGGGAUUAAGAAAGACAGUAAAAAAAUAUUUUCAGCAUUUUAUGUGGGAUCAUAACUCUACUUGUAGGGUUAAAUGAGCUUUUAUAAGUAAUGCACUCUAAAGCUAUAAUGUGAGUUUUUCUUUUAUCUUUCCUGGAGACCACAUUAUUAAUAAGUGUUGAUCUUUAUAUUUGAGCAUUGUACGCCAUUGAAAUGUGGCCUGCAAUAAUUUUCAUUACAUAUACCCAUAAAAUCUGCUUCAUAUUUUGGAAAUCUGAAUGAUGACUACAAAAAAACAAAACAACAACAACAACAAAAUAAACUCAUCAUAUGAGAAUUUUCCAAGGAACUCAUCAAAGUUAUGGCUUCUUGUAUGCUACAACAACUUCUUAGAGUUGUUGUUUUUUCAUACAUCUUCAUGCCAUCCGUUAAUUUUUUUUGACUCAGCAAGCCACAGAGCAACUAUUUUAUUAUGUUGUUCUCCCUCAUUGUCUGUGCAUCCCAGAAAGGAAUAUGCAAUUUCAGGAAGACUUUUCCAAUAUUCACAUGCUGGCCACACUCCAGGACCUCAAGAUGGAGAUUGCAAUCACUAUUUAAACUAAAAGGGGCUUCAUUGCCAUAAGUUAUGAAAUUACUGCCAAUAAUCAUUGAGCAAUCAGUGAUAUGAAAGUGGUGUUAUUUAAAAUAAGUAGAGGAGGUUGUGAUCUUUAAAAAUGUGAAGAAUUUAAUUUGGUCAAGUAAAGGUUGGCAGAUAAUUUAUCAAUACAUAGAAAAACUUGGUGAAUGACUCAAGUGGGAUGGUUUGUAAGAACUGUGACCAGGAAUUGGUGAGUUAGAGAUGCUAACAUUAGUUCAACAAGAACAAGAUGAAGUAUUUCAACCCAACUUUCUUUUCCUGGAUAAUUUUAUUUGACUUCUAAUGUAAGACAUCUAAUAAUGUCUUUCAUAGGUUCUUAUAAAAGAGUUGGGGAAAAGAUGCUUUUUUGACUGAGCAAUGAGGGAGAAUUAUUGCCUCAUGAAAACUGCAAGGAGUUUUAUUCACAGAGAUGUUAAAUGACCUCUGCACAGUGAUGUGCAAGAGUUGUGCUAGCUUUUGAGUGUUGAUUGAGUGAUAUCACAUUGAUAACUUGGAAAUGGUCAUGAUGGGGUUAUUCACAUCUAGAAAAUUAGCCCACAUUACAAAGUUGAGCUUUAUUUUCUUCUUGAGACUCAUUUCUUAAACAUUUACUAGCAUACUAUUUUUUGAAAUUUUUUAUUUGUUCUUUUUAGAUUGCACAUGACAGUAAAAUGUAUUUUGACAUAUUAUACAUACAUGAAGUAUAACUUAUUCUAAUUAGUAUCACAUUCUUGAGGUUGUACAUAAUGUGGAGUUUCACUGGGCACAUAUUCAUGUAUGAACAUAGGGAAGUUAUGUCUGAUUCAUUCUACCAUCUUCCCAGUUCUUGCCCCCCUCCCUUCCCUUCAUUCCCCUUUAUUUAAUCCACUGAAUUACUAUUUUCCCCCAUCCCCUUGUUGUGUGUUAGCAUCCUCAUACCAGAAAGAACAUUCAACCUUUGGUUUUUUGGGACUGGCUUAUUUCACUUAGCAUGAUAUUCUCUAGAUCCAUCCAUUUACCAGUGAAAGUUUAAAGUCAUUCUUUUUAUGGAUGUGUAAUAUUCCAUGGUGUAUAUUUACCACAUUUUGUCUAUUCAUCUGUCGAAGUGUACCUAGGUUGGUCCCAUAGCUUAGAUAUUGUAAUUUGAGCUACUAUAAACAUUGAUGUGGCUGCAUCACUAUAGUAUGCCAAUUUUAAGUCAUUCGGAAAAUAAAUACUGAAUUAGACAGUAUGCCAGAGUAAGGGGAGUUUGGAGAGAAAAGGAUGUCACAUGUGCUAGGCUGAAGUGGUUCCUAGUCUGAUAUGAGAAAAGGUAUGUAGACAACAAAGCCCUAUGAAUUGUACUCCCUGGGUUUCUUUUUCGCUCUUGUCUUUUCCCAGUUUCUCUAUUCAUAUAUUAUGAGCCACAUGGGGCUUUUUACUAUUUCUUAAACACCCCAGGCUUAUGCCUGCAUCCAGCUUUUGCACCUGCUAUUGUCUCUGCCGGGAAUAUUCUUCCUCCAGAUCUUUGCAUGCCUGACUCCCUCUCAAUCCAAAUAUCACUUCUUCAGAAGAACCUUCCCUGACAAACUCCAAUCUAAAGUAAUCAACUUACUUUGCCCCUCAAUCCUCUGUUAUCACAAAAAUCCAUUUUUUAAAAAAUAAAUAAUUUUAGAUUGGUUUUAGAUUUAUAGAAUGUAGAAAGCGUUUCUAUAUACACCACCUCACUUCCACUAUUGUUGACAUCUUGCAUUACUAUGAUACAUGUCUUACAACAGAAAAACUGACAUUAUUACUUUACUUUGAACUGAACUUCACAUUGUAUUUGAAUUUUGCUAGUUUUUACCUAAUGCUCUUUUCUGUUUCCAGGGUUACAAUCAGUAUAUAUUAUGUCUAGUUACCUUGUUUCCUUAUCUUCUUCUGGUCUAUGAUAGUUUCUCAAAUUUUCAUUAUUUUUGUGACCUUAUAUGUUUUAAAGAUUAAAAAUUAAAAUUCUCCCAUCACAGUUCUCUUUGGAAGAAAGUUGUUAAGUACACUCGACACUCAAAGGGUAGGAUGUUAAGUUCAAUUCCAUGAGGACUGAGGAUAUACCUAAAUUGUGAAAUUUUUGGUGGAAUGUUUUGUAAAACAGUAGUCAAUUUAGGUUUGUCUAAAGAUUUUCUGAAGGUUAGACUGGGUUUAUGGGUUUUUUGGGGGAAGACAUCAGAAGUGAGGUGCUGUUCUCAUGACAUCAUAUACAAGAUAUAUAAUAUCAACUUGAUAACAUCAUUGAUGUUGUUAACCUUGACCAUUGAGAAGGAGGUAGUGUUUACUGGGUUUCUCCAUUGGAAAAUUACUCCACUGUCUCUUCUUUCAUCACAGUUAAGUACAUUCCACACUCAAGGGGUGGUGUAUUAAGUCCAAUUCCAUGAGGACUGAGGAUCUACCUAAAUUGUACUUUUGUACCAGAGAUCUGUCCUCUCUUCCACAUUUACUUGCUUAUUUAUUUAUUGCAUAGGAACAUGGAUCUCUAUUUAUCAUUCUCUAUUAUAACUCAUUACUAUAUUAUUUUUUGAUGCUCAAUUUAGUCUGGCCACUAGGAACUAUUUCAGAUUGAUUCCUGUGUCCCUUUGGUGCAUCUUUAACCUUUUGUUUUUUGAACACUAUAUUAUAUGUCUAGUACUAUAAGAUGCUUCAGGUUCAUUUUCUGUAGUCUCUGCCCAAGCUACUUCUCCAAGAAGCACUAGUUACUUUAAUUGGAUAAUGGUAUUAAAAAUUAAAAGCUGCUCACAGAGUGAGCUUGUUGCUACAGAGAUAUGCUUUCUUAUAAGCCCUCUCAAUGGGCAAAGGUAAGGAAAGCAAAUAUGUGUUCUGAAUCAUAUAUAUAAAGUUAUUUAAAAUAUUUAGGUACAUAUUCAUCUUCAUCCGCAUUAAAUUAAACUAAAAGAGUUUAUACUGAUGUCCCCAAUUCUGAUCCAGAAUCAAUGUUUUGUUUUCCUACCUACUUUGCUUCUCUGAACCUCUGCUCCAACAAUGAGAAACCUGAUUCCCACCAUCUACCAUCCAGUUAUUUUCUGUUCCAUCCCAGUAUACUGGUAUCUCAACUUUGGAACAGUUACUCUGUAUUCCCAUGAGAAAUGACUUUACCCAAACUAGAUUACAGUGUGUAUAUUCUGUUUCUAUUAGUGUUUAAAGUUUUCAGUCAAAACUAUUUAUUUAUUUAUUUAUUUAUUCUUUCUAGAUAUACAUGACAACAGAGUGUAUUUUGACAUAUUAUACAUACAUAAAAUAAGUAUAACUUGUUCCAAUUAGGAUCCCAUUAUUGUGGGUGUACAUAAUGGAAAGUUAUACUGGUCAUAUAUUCAUACACAAGGACAGGAAAUAAAAGUCCAUUUCAUUCUGUUGUCUUUACCAUUCCCAUCCUUCUCCCUUUCCCUUCAUUCCCCUUUGUCUAAUCCAAUGAACUUCCAAUCUUUCCCUCCCUUGUUGUAGGUUAGUAUCCACAUGUCAGUGAGAACUUUCUGCCUUUUGUUUUGGAGGAUUGGCUUAUUUCACUUAGCAUGAUAUUCUCCAGUUCUAUCCAUUUACUGGCAAAUGCCAUAAUUUCAUUCUUCUUUAUGGCUGAGUAUUAUUCCAUUGUGUAUAUAUACCACAUUUUCUUUCUUCCUUCAUCUGUUUUAUGGCACCUAGGUUGGUACCAUAUCUUGGCUAUUGUGAAUUGAGCUGCUAUAAACAUUAAAGUGGCUGUGUCACCAUCGUAUGUUGAUUUUAAUUCUUUUGGGUAUAAACUGAGGAGUGGAGUAACUGGGUGAAAUGGUGGUUUCAUUCUAAGUUUUCUAAGGAAACUACAUACUUCUUUCCAGAGUAAUUGAAUUGAUUUUCAGCCCCACCAGCAACAGAUAAGUGAAUCUUUUACCCCACAUCCUCACCGACAUUUGUUGUUCUUUGUAUUCUUGAAAAUUGCCAUUCUGGUUGGAGUCAGAUGAAAUCUCAGUGUAGUUCUGAUUUGCAUUUCUCUAAUUACUAGAGAUGUUGAACACUUUUUCAUAUAUUUUUGACCAUUUGAAUUUCUUCUGUAAAGUGCCUGUUUGGUUCCUUAGCCUAUUUAUUGAUUGGGUUAUUUAUUUAUUUAUUUAUUUUGAGUUUUUUGAGUUCUUUGUAUAUCCUGGAGAUUAGUGCUCUGAGGUGCUGCUGGUAAAUACUUUAUCCCAUUCUGUAGGCUCUCUGUUUAUGUUCUUGAUUGUUUUCUUUUCUGUGAAGAAGAUUAUUAGUUUGAUACUAUUCCAUUUAUUGAUUCUUGAUUUUACUUCUUGCACUGUAAGUAACUUAUUGAGGUUAGUUCCUAAGCUGUGCCGCAGUCUGGCUGGGCACAAAAUCACAAGCCACCACACACCUUGUAGAUUCAAACAGCAACUCUUUAUUCCCGAACUCACACCAGCACUCUACACACGUUCUGGGGCAAAAUCACGUUCUGGGCAAAAUCACGUUCUGGGCAAAAUCCCAAAUACUCUCUCAAUCCCGCGAGAACUCAAUGGGCAACUCAAGGAGCAGGCGCACCUGAGGCAGCAGGAUACGCCCUAUUCCCAGCAGGAAUAAUCUUAAACCUUAAACCUGGAACCUAAACCGGGAACGNUGUUUAAAAACUCCACAGUCAAAAAAUAAAACUGAUCAGAAAAACAUUAACCUAGGUUUGUAUGAGCUCAAAAAAUAAAAAUAGAACCUUAUGAUGUGGAAAAAUGCAAUAAUAAAAUAGCUAUUGAAAAAAGCAUCCUGGUUAAUCACUGUCGCAGAUGUAAGAAUGGCCAAGCUGGAGUUCUGGAUAUCAGCUGUUAUGGAUUUGAGUCAAAUCAUCUUCUUUUCGAUCUGUAGAAACUGUUUUAGUUAAUCUCUCUGGAAUCCAAAUGGGCUGCUGUUCUCCCUGUGGAAAAACACAAACAGACCCCCGACUCCAGACAAUCACUGGGUCAGGACCUUUCCAUUGUCCUGUUAGAAUAUCUUUCCAAAGUACUUUAGGCUUAUGUACAUUUUUUGGAUACAUAUGCCUUUCCGCAGCACUAAGUCCUGAUGAAUCCAAAUUUAAAAAGUUUAGAGUAAAAAGCGUUAUUUUAAGUUUAUCUUUGGGGGAUAUAUACCCCCUUCCAAUUCCCUCUUUUUGCUUUAAUAAGUAUGUUUUAAUAGUUUGAUGAGCUCUUUCAACUAUGCCUUGUCCCUGUGGAUUGUAUGGGAUUCCUGUUAUAUGAGUAAUACCAAAUGAUGAGCAAAAUUGUUUAAAAGAGGUAGAGGUAUAGCCAGGACCAUUAUCGGUUUUUAACUGUUUAGGAACGCCCACAGUGGCAAAAUUUUGUAAGCAAUGAGCUAUAACAUCUUUAGUUUUUUCUCCGGCAUGAAGGGAGCCCAUCAAAAAUCCGGAAGAAGUAUCAACUGUAACAUGUAAAUAUUUUAAUUUUCCAAAUUCUGGCAAGUGUGUGACGUCCAUCUGCCAAAUAUGGUUAGGUAUCAGUCCUCUAGGAUUGACUCCAAGAUUAACUUGUGGUAAAAAUGUCACACAAUUUUGACAUUGUUUUAUUAUAUGUCUGGCUUGUUCCUUAGUUAUUUUAAAACGCUUUUGUAAAGUAUUAGCAUUAACAUGAAACCUUUUAUGAAAAUUUGUAGCUUCUUCAAAUGUAGAGAAAAUAUGUAUGUCAUGUGUAGUUUUAUCUGCUAAAUCAUUGCCUAAACUAAGGGCUCCAGGCAAUCCUGUAUGUGCCCUAAUAUGUCCUAUAAAGAAUGGAUCUUUUCUGUCCCAGAUUAGACUUUGUAUAGUGGAAAACAAAGAGAAAACAGUAGAAGAAGGGGAAAUCCUACCAGCAUCUUCAAGAGAUACUAUAGCAUUAACUACAUACUGACUAUCAGAAAAUAAAUUAAAUACAGAAUCUUUAAACAUCACAAAAGCUUGUAAAACUGCAUUAAACUCUACCUUUUGAGCUGAUUGUUUGGGUACUAAAAAUGUAAAAGUUUGAUCAGGUGUAACUACUGCUGCUGUACCAUUAUUUGACCCAUCAGUGAAUAUAUUUGGAGCAUUCUUGAUGGGGGUUUUUCUUGUCAUUUUUGGAAAAACUACAGGAUGCUUAGACCAAAAGACAACAAAGGAUUAGAUGGUAAAUGAUUAUCAAAUGUAACAUUAGAUUUACACAUGAUUAUUGCCCAAGUAUUUAACUCAUUAGCUAACUCAUCAAUUUGAUCCAUAGUAUAUGGAGUAAUAAUUUUAUUGGGAGAAAUUCCAAACACUCCCUUCGCUGCUUUUAUUCCUUUGAAUAUUAAUUGUCCUACAGCCUCAGGAUACCUAGUAAGAAUAGUGUUAGGAGAAUAAGAUAAAUGUAUCCACAAUAAUGGACCUUCUUGCCAAAAUACUCCUGUAGGAAUAUUUUUUGUUGGUAGUACAAUAAAUAAUAAAGGCAAACUUAUAUCAAUUCUAUCCAAAUGCAUAUUUUCCAUAUAUGGUAGAGAGUUUGGCUUACAUUUUCCACUAGUAGGCACAGGAUUUCUGGUCCAAUACCUAGGUUCUUGAUCCACUUUCAGUUGAGUUUUGUGCAGGGUGAGACAUAGAGGUUAUAUUUCAUUCUACUACAUAUGGAUUUCCAGUUUUCUAAAGACUAUUUGAUGAAGAGGCUAUCUUUUCUCCAGUGUAUGUUUAUGGUGUAUUUGUCUAGUAUGAGAUAACUGUAUUUGUGUGGGUUUUUCCUCUGUGUCUUCUAUUCUGUUCCAUUGGUCUUCGUGUCUGUUUUUGUGUCAAUACCAUGUCGUUUUUGUUACUAUAACUCUUCUAAAUGGAGAAAAAAUGAAAGCAUUCUCUCUAAAAAGUGGAAUAAGACAGGGAUAUCCUCUUUUGCCAUUCCUAUUCAACACAGCCUUUAAAACCCUAGCCAGAGCAAUUAGACAACAGAAAUAAAUCAAACCAUCCCUAUUUGUUGACAAUAUGAGUCUGCAUGUAGAAGACCUAAAAAGUUCCACCAGAAAACUUCUAGAACUCAUGAGUUCAGAAAAAUAGCAGGAUAUAAAAUUAACACCCAUAAAUCAAUUGCAUUUGUAUACAACAAUGAUGAAUUAGAUGAACUAGAAAUCAGAAAAACAAUCUCAUUCACAAUAGCCUCAAAAAAUAUACAUCUGGGAAUCAAUGUAACAAAAGACAUGAAAGGCAUCUACAAUGAAAACUACAGGACACUAAAGAAAGAAAUUGAAGAAGACCUUAGAAGAUGGAAAGAUCUCCCAUAUUUUGGAUAUGCAGAAUUAAUAUUGUCAAAGUGGCCAUACUACCAAAAGUGCUAUACAGAUUUAAUGCAAUUCCUGUUAAAAUUCCAAUGACAUUCUUCAUAGAAAUGGAAAAAUCACUCAUGAAAUUCAUCUGGAAAAAUAAAAGGCCCAAAAUAGCCAAAGCAUUCCUUACUGGAAAUAGUGAAGUAGGAGGCAUCAUGAUACCAGGCCUUAAAUUAUACUACAAGACUUUUUUUUUCCUAUAGACAAAACCCAGUUUUAAAGCAUUAUAAUGCUCAUUAGCAAUGGGAAUUAUUAUAAUUUUUAAUAUAUUGUUUGUGUUUCCAAAUAGAAUAUGAACUCUAGGAAAACAGAAGUUUCUUAUGUAACAUCUUGCUAAACAUUCUAACUCCAGCAUCAAAGACAGUGCCCAGCACAUUAAGAACACCAACAAACAUAGUUAAUAUUCAUUAUAUGCAAAGAUAAAAUCACUCAAAAUACAACUUAUCAUUUGAUUUUAUUCAUUUGGCUAAGUUUAAUUAGGUACUAGAUGGUCAACCCAUUCCUUCAAAGCAUGCAAGAAUUUUUUUAUUAAUAAAAUGCCAUAGAAAUGUUUUGUAUUGGAAAUAAGACUGACAAUAGGCUUGUACAUUCAUACCUAAAUGUCUGUUUCUUCUUUCUCUGUAGGAAAUAAUGUCUGAACCUACUUACUGAACAAAACUAACGAAGAUGAUGCUAAUCACCAUCUGACUAGAGUCUUAAAGCUGAACCCCAAAACACUGGUUAUCUAAUUCUUGAUGACUUGCAGUUCAUUCAAAUAGGUUAUUGAAGAGAUGCAGAAUCUUUGAGUGGGUAUUGCCUGAUCCCUCUCAACUCUCCUCAGUGUGGGUGUCCUUAUCUUCUAUUAAAGAUGGAUCUGUAUUACAUUUUCACAUAAAGAUGCUAAGCCCAUACCCUUAAAUUGCUACAGAUAACCUAUUAUCCUGAUCUAAUGUCUACACUUAAUGUCUACAUUCUAGACAAUUACUAAAUGAAAUAAUCUUACAUUUUCAAACAUUUAGUAUUUUUUACCAGUGUAACUGAUCAAAAGUAAUAUAUCAGGAAUGUUGUUUGAAUGAAAUGUGCUGUAUAUAUGUUAUGAUUUAAAUAUGAAAUGUCUCCCUGUGUGAAAAGCUUCUGUGUGAAACAAUGCAAGUAUAUUCAGAGGUGAAAUUAUUAAAUCUAUGAGAGCUGUAACCUAAUCAGUGGAUUAAUCUGCUGAUAUGAAUUAAUUAUGUGAUAACUGUAGACAGGUAGGGAGUGACUGAAGAAAGUAGAUCACUGGAGCUUAUAUUUUGUCCCUGGUGAGUGGAUUACUCUGCUUUCUGGCUAUCAUGAAAUGAGCAGCUUUCCUUUGCCAUUCCCUUCCACCAUGUUGUUCUAAUUUACCUUGGUCUCAGGGGAAUAGACUCAGUCAACCAUGAACUGAACCUCUGAAAUUCUGAGCCAAAAUAAACUUUCUCUCCUCUAACUUGUUCUCUUUAGGUCUUUUGAUCAUAGCAACAAAAAGCUGACUAAAGCAAUAUAUUUUUUUCUAGAUAUUUUUAAAUUACAUUUAAGUUUUUACAGCAGAAGAUCUAAUGCCUAAAUCACAUAUUGACUGCAUCCCUGAUACCCCUAUAUGCAGAAAUGUUUUUACCACUAGCCUUUAUUAUAGUUGAAUUUAACAUCUUGUUAAACUGUGGGGUACUGUUGCAGGAAAAAACCAAAUCUAUGAAAUUAAAUAAAGUCCCAAUUUCUCAUUUGAUGAAGGUAACAUUUCAAAUUGGAUGGCGGGGUUGGGGUAAAAAUAAGGAAUAUUUUAUCAUUUUUGAGUUCACAUGCCUUCCUACUAUUUUUGGGUUUUUUAAAGGCAAAAUAUAUUACUUUUUGAACUUAAAAUGACUGCCAGGAAAAAAUAUUCAAGAACUUACGUGUGUAGUAAUUGAAAAGAUGAUGCUUAUGUACAACAUAUAAUUACUUCUUUGUGACAAUGUCCAAAAAGAAGAAUAAUUUAUUUCAAUUUUUAUUCUAGGAAUAAGAAUACUCCUAGGAAAUUGUUUUGUUUAAUUUUUAACCCUGAAAAUUAUGUAAUUGUCUAUAUUUUGUAUUUUAUUUUAAAUGUUAUAAUGAUUAGAGUCAUAUUUUUGCCACAUUUUAUAUUUAUUCUGUUUUGUUCCAAAUGGAUGUAUCCAUUUAAGCUUCUUCAUAUCUUUUCUAAAACAAUAUUGGGUAUAAGUAAAUAAUUAAAUAGGCAUAAAUUAUUAAAUGAUUAGUUCUAUCAGACUAUUGUAUCCGGAAUACUCAUAGCAGAUGAUCAAAUCACAGUUUUUUCCUGAAUAAUGUUGGACAUGAGCAGAAGAAUUCUCACUCUUUAGCUCCACUUUUUUUUGGUGGGGGUGGGGUGUGGUACCAGGGAUUGAACUCAGGGGCACUCACCCACUGAGCCACAUCCCCAGCACUAUUUUAUAUUUUAUUUAGAGACAGGGUCUCACUGAGUUACUUAGGGGCUUGCUUUUGCUGAGGUUGGGUUUGAACUUGUGAUCCUCCUGCCUUAGCCUCCCGAGCGGCUGGGAUUAUACCCGACCACUUUUCUUAGAAUAUAUAACAAUCACUUCACUUCAUAGUUAAGAGCUACUGCACAAAGCUAUCAUAUUUACUUGCAAUCACAUGCUGUCUUACAUGAAUUGCAUUUCAGUGCCUCUAAUGGAGAUUUGAGAAUUGUUUUAAACCCUGGAAAAUAUGAAGGUGACAUGCUAAUCUCAGCAGGAAUGUCCUCUCAAAUCCCCCUUUGGACCACUGCCCUUGCAAAUGUCACAUUGUUUCAGUUGUCUAUUACUGCAUAAAAAUUUUUCCAAGGGUUAGGUCUGUAGCUCAGUGGCAGAGCACUUGUCUAGCACAUGUGAGGCACUGCCUUCGAUCCUUAGCACAACAUACAAAUAAACAAAUAAAAUGAAGGCAUGCUGUCCAUCUUCAACUCCCAAAAAAAAAAAAAUUAAAAAAACCCUCUCCCAAUAAAGAAGUAAAACAACACCAGUCAUUUUCUCCUUAAGGUUUGAAGUGUUGACUGUUCUUAGCUAGGAAGCACUUUUCUAGUCUUUCAUGCAGUUUGACAGUGAAAGGGACUAGAGUCAUCUGUGAGAAUUCAGCUCAUAGAUGGCUGUCAGGUAAUUCUCACUGAGUGCUGGGAUUUUGGCAAAGGCUGUCAGUGAAACACCUACACAGUGCCUUGUUAUGUGGCAUGGCUUUCCAGAGUGAACAUCCUGACAGAGAACACCAAGGGGAAAUUACUGCCUUUUUAAACCUAACCUCAGAAGUCAUGAAGCAUCAAUGUAGCCACAUUAUAUUAGUUAGAAGCUUGUAACUAAGACCAGUCUACAUUCAAGAAGAGAAUUAAACAUCACCUUUUAUCAGUAAAAUUGCCUAAGAAUCUGUGCUCCUGCUUUGAAGACAUCUCACACAUCUUUCUCUUUAGCGUUGAUUCUUAUUUGUUUUAGGUGACUGCCUUUCCUAUCUAGUUACCAUUUUCUAGUUGGGUUCCCUCCACUGAGCCUCUGUCUUCCUAUACAUUAUCACCACAAAACCUUCACUAUGAUGGCCUAAAACUCAAUGUCUUCUUGUCACUAUUUUCUGUCCCCAAAGUUAUGCAACAUUGUUGAAUUCUGUUGUUUUCUUUGUGCUUAAGGGAACAACAUACUGUGCUCAGAUUAAUUAAUAAGAGUUUUCAGUCUUUAUUGCUAAUGAGCCUAAAAUUUUAAGGCUUCUCUGGAUCUAACAGCUAUAUCGAUUACAGCUUCUGGACAUUAGCCAUCAUCCUAGUACCCUUAGUUAAUUCAGCAAAGUGGAACGGAAUCUCUCCAUUUAUCUUCUUGCCUUUAUGCACUAGUCAACACUACUACCUCAUAGACCAUUUCACAUUCUCUUCAGUUUGUGAUCUAUCUGGUUGAGUAGGGUUAGAUCAAAAGGCCAAUUUUUUUAUCAGGACAUAGUUCCAAAUAUUAAAAGAUUUGUUUUUACUGUAGGCACAUGAGAUCACUGGAGAGAAUCAAAGGAUUAGUUUUUAUGACUCCUGCCCUAUUUGUAGGGACUUCCCAGAAAUUUCUACCUAGAAGAGCAUCCCUUGCCCUUUGAAAUGUAAAAGCUGGAGAGAGGAGAGGAGGGAAAAGCAAACUAUGUUAUAUGCAUUUAUGAAUAUGUCAAAGUGAACCCCACUAUUAUGUAUAACUAUAAUGCACUAAUAAAAUAAUUUUAAAAAUCCAUGAAAACACUCCAUAGUACAAUCUUAGAAUUAGUCAAGACAAAAUGUUCCUAUAUAGAAAAUUAAUGAUAAUUAUGGAAAUGAUAUUACAGUGUUUUUAUUAAGUGGAUAUUAAUGAUAGAAUAUAGUGAAUAUUAUGCAGGCUGUUUAUGUACAUGUAUAUAUAAAAAAUGUUUAAUGGAAAUAGAACAUAUUUUGUUAAAUCAGCACUACACUAUGCCAUAUAUGUAAACCAGUUAUUUCCAAAUGUAUGCAACUUGACAUCUUAACUGAUGUUAGAUAAUUAUCCUAUUUGUUACCCUACAAUUUAAUAUUUUAUGAAAUGUGUAUUUUUUAACCUUUAAGCUACAAAUUUUAAAAUCAGGUUGACAUCCUAAAGUAUGGAAUUUAAUUUACUUUAGUUAAAUUAAUGUCCAAUUUGAAAGACAACUCAACAUCUUUUGCUCAGCACAGCUGUAUAAAAUUUCCAACAGAGGAGAAACUUCCCACUGUGUUUAAACUUUGGAUUUAUUUACAGAGGAUUAAAAAUAUCAGCACUUUAUAGUCAC
Molecule: long non-coding RNA, 46087 nt
Filed under: Marmota monax (woodchuck)
Lineage: Eukaryota; Metazoa; Chordata; Mammalia; Rodentia; Sciuridae
Rfam family: tRNA (bases 27527-27598)
Source: RNAcentral